This 74397-nucleotide long non-coding RNA is filed under the name Vigna radiata. Its description in RNAcentral is "long non-coding RNA (VRAD_LNC000278)". Lineage: Eukaryota; Viridiplantae; Streptophyta; Magnoliopsida; Fabales; Fabaceae. The record is from RNAcentral.
UUCCAAAUCGAUCAACCAUGAAGCCAACCCUAGUUCUUGCUCUCUCUUUCCUCCUUCCCCUCCUUGCUUUCUUCACCAACCUUCCCUUAGCUUUCUCAGAUGAUGUUGAACAAGUUGUGGACAUAUAUCAGAACCCCAUUUUCCCAGGUUUUUCAUACAACAUCGUCCCAGCAAUCCGUGGUCCACCUGGUGGUGGAUUGAAACUUGCCCAAACUGGAAACUCAGAGUGCCCUCUUACUGUUCUGCAAGAUUACUUAGAAGUCUUCCGUGGCCUCCCUGUGAAAUUCACCAUUCCCGGAAUCAGCCCUGGAAUCAUCUUCACAGGUACUAAUCAAUACUUAAUUGUCAUUAAUUAAAAAUAAAACCCAUUUUAUAAUAUAUAAUAUCGCCGAUUUUGUGAGAUUCAACUAGGCUUAAAGUUCACUUCUUAAUAUGGUAUCAUAGUUAUGAUUAGAGUUUAUCUUAACGAUAUUUAUUAUUUGUUGAACAUGUUGUUUCACCUGUUAUCGGGUCGUUAUUAGGUCACCCAUUAAUGUCUAGUCUCACACUCUAUUUAUACUUCGACGUAAGGAUUGUGUUAGAAGUGUCACAUCAAUUAAAGAUAAGAUAAAAACCAAUUUAUAAUAUAUACCUGAACGUAAACCCAAUCUUGUUUUAUAACAUUGAAAUAGGUUUAAAAUCGGUUUCUUUAACAAAUUUCGUAUAAAUUAUUUUCUCUUACUAAUUUCAAGUUUUGGAAACAUCCCUAUAGGUACCGAACUGGACAUCGAGUUCGUACAGAAGCCAUGGUGUGCAAAAUCCUCCAAGUGGUCUGUGUUCGUGGACGAAUCAAUCCAGAAGGCAUGUGUGGGAAUUGGUGGUGCCGAAGGCCAUCCAGGGCAAUCAACUUAUGGUGGCAAAUUUCACAUUGAGAAAUACAACUUUGGGUACAAGCUUGUGUUCUGCAUCACUGGCUCACAAACUUGCUUGGAUAUUGGGAGAUUUGAUGCCAAGAACGGCGAGGAAGGAAGACGCUUGAUUACCACUGAGCAUGAAGCAUUCGAUAUUGUGUUCGUACCAGCUUUUGAAGCUGAUAAGGUUAUUAAGUCCGUAGCUUGAAUCAAAUAUCUCUAAUUAAUAAGAUUUUAGUUAAUGCAAUCAUUUCUUUUGAUUUGCAUUACCUAAGAGAAUCUAUUCCAAAACUGAAUAAGAGAGUUAAUUGCUAACUUUCUUGCGUGAUAUCUUUCUCUCUUUCAUCUCUUUCAAACUUCAAUGAAAGACAUUAAAAAAAUUUAGGUUUAAUAUUAUGAGAAGCCCACACAAGUCCAUGCACUACAAAAAUUUACAAUUUUUUUAGGGUUAUUUUUUUAUUUCCGACGGUGUUAACUUCCAAAUAAUCAUUACCCGUGGUUUGAAAAACUAUUGAAAAAAACUGUUUCGCUAAAUAAUAAUCGACAACUUUUAAAAAAAUCGUCAGUAUUAGCGUGAGCUUGGAGAAAACCGUCAAUAUUAAUGGGGUUUUGGAAAAACCACCGGUAAUAAUGGUGAUUUCUCAAAACUCACUGAUAUUUGCAGAGGUUUCUCAAAAACUAUCUAUAUUUCCAGGAGUUUUGAAGAAACCGUCAAUAUAAUCAGAGAUUUCUAAAAAUCUGUCAAUAUUUACAAAAAUUAUAGAAAAACCGUCAGAAAUGUGUGCAGAAGUUUUUGAUUAUUGAUUAAAUGAAAUUAUGAUCAAAUUAUUUUAAUAACCACAGUGAAAUAAUAAGAACUAAAGCUGAAUAUUAUAUGUAAAAUAAAUUACAUUAUUCAAUAUAUUAAUAUAAUUCAUAUAUUUAAUUUUUUUUUCAUAAAUAAAAAUUAAAAAGAAAAAUAUUCAAUACUAAAUUAAAAUAUUAAAAAUAUGACCGAGAAAGAUGUUCAUUAAGAAUCUUGAUUUUGAUACAUAAAGUUCAUAAUAAUGAAUUCAGUUGCACAAAAUUUUUCAAAAUCCAUCUUUCUAUAUUGUAAUGAAUUCAACUGUCAUAAAAAAGAAAUAUAAAGAUGUAAGAUUGAAAUAAAUCAAAUUAAGUGAUAUAUCUAUAUACACAGAACAAAAUAGUUUUACUGAAAAAAGAAAGUCAGGGAUGCGAGACUCUUUCAUGGCAUAUGUUUUCUACCAAAAUAAUAGGUUUCUGGAAGCAUGUUGACACCAUUAUUAAAUUCAAUUCACAUAAAUAUAAUAAAAUUAGUUUCUUUGUCGUAAAUAGAAUUGAUAAUGAUAGAUAUAUCUUUUAUGGUUCAAAAAUCCUACUCCUAUUUGUUAAAUUCGAUUAAAUUUGUGCACUUGUCAAAAUAGAUUAAUAUUGAUUAAAUAAUUAUCAUAGUUAUCUAUUUACUUAAUUUAAAUUGUAGUUCGAGUUUGAAAACCAAAUAAAAAUUGAGUAUAUUUAUAAUUCAGUUAUAAUUCUAAUUAUUCAAAUAGUUAUUUCUAUUAUAUAUAAAAUAAAGUCCAACUUCAUACUAUUUGUUAUCUCUAGUUUAUCAAUACUAACAACUUUUAUAUAUAUUUAUAUAUAUAUAAACAUCAUCUGCAAAAUGUUUUCCUACUCUUCAUCCAAAUUCAUAAAAGUCACAAAAACAUGUAAAAAGGUUUUCAGUAACUCACUCACAUUCUCACCCUGUUCAAUUGAUUGAGUAAUCAAAUUAUGAUGGCAAUUCAAAUUUGGAAUUUAAAUAUUCUCCAAAUUAUAUCAUAAAUUUGUGUUCAAUUUUCAAGUCUAGCACAUGAACUCAAAACAUUCUAUGAAAAGAUAUAUAAAUUAGUCUUACGUCAUUUAAAAUUAGUCUAAAAAAGGGAGAUAGCUUGAGAGUUAUCACAAAUACAGUUUGGGUGGUAGAUCUUUCUUCACCACAUUCAUGUCGAUUCUUUGAACAAAGCCUUUUAACUCUUCAUAGAGGAUAUGAGACCUCUGGUUCAUAAUUUUCACAUCUGUCAUAGUUGAAUUGAUGUGUUGUCCAUUCUCUAUAGGGUUUUGGAAGCUGCAAAUUAAAACAUUUGGUUAGACACAUUCUUUAAUAUGAUUCAUCGCUAAACGAUACAUGCAUUAUCUAUAUAAAAAUUUGUCAAUAAAUAAGAUAUGUAUUACCUACAAAAAAAAUUUGUGAAUAAAGUGAUCGAUAAUGUAUAUUUCAUUUAUUAGUGAAAAAAUUUGUUUGUAAAUGAGAUAUACAUUACUUACAUAAAAAGUUCAUCAAUAAAUUCGUUGAUAAUGAAACGUGCAUUAUUUAUAGAAAAAUCCGUCGAUAAAUUAGAUAUGUAUUACUUCCGAAAAAAUCUAUUGAUAAAAUGGGUGAGAAUUUUGCCACAUAUAUUUUAUUUAUCGACAGAUUUUUUUCGUCUGUAAAUCAAAUAUACAUUGAAAAAUUCGUUCGGUAAAAUGAGUGAGAAUUUUUCUGGUCAUUUUUUCCUCUGCUAAUGAGAGAGAAACAUUAUAUAUUUUUCACUUUCUCACAGAUGUUCAUCUUUAGUGCACGAAGCAGCUUCAUCUUCCCCGUCUUCUUCCUCUCAACUCCACCACAACAGCUACAAGCCUUCAUCUUCGUUCAAUCGGGUUGUCGUCUCUGUUCAUCCUUGCUAUCGUCUUCGUUCAGUCAGGUUGCCAUCUCCGUUCAGUCAGUUUGUCAUCUUUAUUCAGCUAGGUCACCACCAUCUCUAUUCAGAUAGUCAUCUUAAAUAUAUUUCAAAUUCAGAUGUUACACAUAUUUAUAUGAGUAGUGAAUAAUUGAUUAUGAACUAUAAAUAAUCAAUUGUUGUAAAUUAUUUUGUUGAAACUAAACUUUUCCUAAUUAGUUGAUUAUUUGAGGCAACGAUUGAUUAUGUUAUAUGCUUCUUUCAAGAAAAACAUCACAUUCUCUAAUUAUCUAUUAUGUUUAAUUAUGUUGAUUCAAAAUUGUUAAUAGGUUACAUGAAAAACAUAUAUAUUAACAUAAUAUGAUUAAGUAUAACAGAUUAUAUUAAUUAGUAACCUCAACACUCUUUUAAAAGAAAAAUUCUCUCUCGUUUAUUUUAUGAAUGAGAUAUUAAAAAACUAUUCUAGAUUUACGAAGGGAAAGUGAUUAUACUAUUGAUUUUUGUUUUAAUUUUUUUUAACUUUUCCUAAUUAAAAAAUAAUAAUUGUUUAUAUCUUAUGACAAUAAUAUUAUAUAUUAAUAUUAAUAUCACGUGUAAUUUAAUUCUAUUUUUUAAAUAAUUUUGAUCAUUUAUAAAUUGAGAUUAAAUUUAAUUUUUAUAUAAAUAUUAUAUUGAUAUUUAUAUUAAAAUUACAUCAAUUUUUAAAAAUAUUGAAAUUUAAUUGAGACAAAAAUAUUAAAGACUAAUUUGAAAUAUCUUUGACGAAAAUUAAAAUAAAAAUAUAUUUAAACCUGAAAAAAAUAUACAUUAAUUAUUAGAUAAAUAGAUGAUUUAGUACAAUAAAGAUUAAAUAAUUUUUUUUCGAUUAAAUAAAAAUGAAACAUGCUAUUCUUGUUAUAUUAAACUAAUUAUUUAUUAGUGGUUAAUUAUUUUACAAUUAGAACGUUUUUGAAGAAUUUGUUUUGAAGUCAAAAUUUAUUACAUAACUGCAUAUACAUUCAUUUGAUAUUAAAAAAAUGCAUUAAUAACAUAUUAAUGCAUGGAAUUAUGAAAUACAAUUGAUUGAUUUCAUUUCAAAUCAAAUCCUUAGAAGAAUGAUUCGUAAAUAAUCUAUGUGUAACCUCCAAAAUAGAAAUUGUUUCAAACUAUGAAAUAAUAUGUAACAGCAACUAAACAAAUACGAUAAUAUAAUAAUUUCACACAGAAAAAUGAAAUAAGAGUCAUUCAAUUAAGAAAUAUAAUUUUUUUAAUAUUCAAUAAACUAUACAAAUUUAUUAAGUACUGAAUUUAGCAUAUAGAAAUUUAGGGGAGACUCUAAACUUCAUGAAAAGAAACUCUAUAAAUAAAUACCUUACUCUAUCCAUGUUUUAAAAAUCACUUUUCUUCUUUCUCUACCAUCUCUCCACCACCAUUCUCUCUUUCUUUUUUGGUUUAAUCAUUUAGAUUGUCCCUAUUUAUGUUGGAUUUUCUCAGUAUUUUAAAACGUCUUAAUUAAGUCCCUAUUUUUGUAAGAUUGAAUCAAUUAAGGGUUUGCCGUUAACUUAACUAAACGAUGUUAAAAUUGACUGGGGUGGCAUGCUGACAGUUUAUACUGUUUUCUCACAAUUUUUAAUUAAAUUGAGUGUGAGUGUCAGCCCUGAGAAAACAGAGGCUCGAGAUUUCUCUCCCUCUCGAAGGGUUAGUCCCUCUUGAACCCACGCACACCACUGCCUCAGUCAACCGGAAUCGCCACCGCAACGGCCCUCCCGGUUUGUCCAAAGAGUCACCGGCGGCCUUCGCCGGCCACAACGUUUUCCCCCUUUCUCCCUCUCGCUCCGAUAACCAUAGAAGCCCCCCAUCUUCGCCGGCAGCCACGAGCCACUCUCGCCUCCAUCCAACUGAUCCAGCCACCGCGACGGAUCCCCCUCUGUCCAAGGCGUCGCCAGCGAACACUGCCGGCCACGACAUUUAACCAUUCCUGGCUCCUCUCUGCACGCAAGGAGGAGGCGCCCUCGCCGUUCAUGAUGUGCCCAGUCGUCGUCGAAAUGAGCCACCACCACAGAAUCACCCUCAAGCCCUAGAAUCCCGUCGCCUAACGUCAUCGCAAACACCACCCAGACCGCCACUCUCAAAUCUUGUCACCUCCACUAGUCAGGGCCGUCAUUUGCCUUCUCAUGGCCUUGGACGAUUUACAGGUUGGAUGAUGGUAUGAUGCGAGAGCUGGUUCAGUGCAGGUAGGAUACAAGCUUGUGCGUGGGGCUAGAAAUUGAUUUUGGUUCUUGGUGAUUGGUUUUAUUUUUGUGGAUUUGUGUAGUGCAGGUCAAGCAAGAUGGUGUGAUGCGUGAGUUACGAUGGAGGUUCUAACGGAGUGAUUCUGGUGAAGAUGGACAUACUGGUUCUGGUUCUGAUGUUUUCUUUUUUCUGCUUUGUUUCUCUAGUGAGGAUAUAGCUUAAAAACAAAGGGGAGGUUUUUGAAGUGGAUUAAAAGCAGAAGGAAUUUUCAUGGCUCAUUGUGCUCAGGAGAAUAGGAUGAAGGAGAGCAAUACAUAAUAGAAAAUGGAAGACUCCUAAUAUGAGAAAAUGGAACAAUGAAAUUUUAUUAAAAGAAAUGUGACAAAACCAAGUCAGCUCACCGUAAACUGACACCUAAGCCAAGUUUGGAUGUCAUGCAUAUUCAAUUUUAAUACCGUUUAUUCAAUUUAACGGCAAAUCCUUAAUUGACUCAAUUUUGCAAAAAUAAGAACUUAAUUGAGACAUUUUAAAAUAUUGGGACCUAAUUGAGAAAACUUAACAUAAAUAAGGACAUUCUAAAUGAUUAAACCUUCUUUUUUAAGAUCUUUCUUUUUCCACCAUCUAUUUAAAACAUUGUUAAAUAAUGUUUUUACCUCUUUGUGAAAUGAGACUAUCGACUCAUUCUAGUGAUAUUAUAAUAUUAUUUUAAAUUAAAAUAUCAACUUGUUGUGAAUGUCUCUCUUUCACAAUUAAGAAAGAAACAUUAAAAUAAUUUACCCACUUGUUGUGAAUGUCUCUCUUUCACAAAUGAACCUUUGUUGCUAUGUCCAUUCAUAACAUAUCCUUCCACAACUUCCACAUUUGUUGCUGCCACAUGUUUCUAUUCCGAGCUCUGCAUACCUACCAUUUAUUAUCUUAUGAUUUUUGAAGUAGAAACACGUGCUGCUAUAGCACCAUCUUUGGUUCUAUAUAAAGAACCAAAAAGCAGUACUCCAAAACAUCUCCAACAACACCUUCCAAAUCGAUCAACCAUGAAGCCAACCGUAGUUCUUGCUCUCUCUUUCCUCCUUCCCCUCCUUGCUUUCUUCACCAACAUUCCCUUAGCUUUCUCAGAUGAUGUUGAACAAGUUGUGGACAUAUAUGGGAACCCCAUUUACCCAGGUUUUUCAUACUACAUCAUCCCAGCACUCCGUGGUCCAGGUGGUGGUGGAUUGAAACUUGCCCAAACUGGAAACUCAGAGUGCUCUCUUACUAUCCUGCAAGAUUACUCUGAAGUCUUCCGUGGCCUUCCUGUGCAAUUCACCAUUCCCGGAAUCAGUCCUGGAAUCAUCUUCACAGGUACUAAUUAAAACUUAAUUGUCAUGAAUUGAAUUGUUAGAAGUUUCAAGUGGAUUAAAAGUAAAACCAAUUUAUAAUAUAUAAUAUAACGCUGAUUUUGUGAGAUUGAGUCAAGUUUAAAGUUCACUCCUUAAUAUGGUAUCAUAGUAAUGAUUAGAGUCUAUCUUAAGAUAUUUGUUGUUUAUUGAACAUUUUGUUCGACCUGUUAUCGGAUCAUUAUUCGACCACUUAUUAAUAUCUAGUCUCACGCUUUGUUUAUACGUUGGACGUAAAGAGUGUGUUGAGAGUGUGACAUCAAUUAAUGAUAAGAUAAAAUUAAUUUGUAAUAUAUAAAUGAAUGUGGACCUCGUCUUAUUAGAGACCGGUUUUAUAAUAUUGAAAUAGGUUUGAAAUUGACUUAUAAAAUUUCGUAUAAAUUAUCUUCUGUUACUAAUUUCAAGUUUUGGAAACAUCCCUAUAGGUACCGAACUGGAGAUCGAGUUCGUAGAGAAGCCAUGGUGUGCAAAAUCCUCCAAGUGGUCGUUGUUCAUAGAUGUAUCAAUCGGGAAGGCAUGUUUGGGAAUUGGUGGUGCCGAAGGCCAUCCAGGGCAAUCAACUUAUGAUGGCAAAUUUCACAUUAAGAAAUACAUAUUUGGGUACAAGCUUGUGUUCUGCCUCGAUGCCACAAAAGCUUGCUUGGAUAUUGGGAGAUUUGAUGCCAAGAACGGCGAGGAAGGAAGACGCUUGAAUACGACUCAGGAUGAAGCAUUCGAUAUUGUGUUCGUACCAGCUUUUAAAGCUGAUAAGGUUAUUAAGUCUGUAGCUUGAGUCAAAUAUCUCUAGUUAAUCAGAUUUUAGUUAAUGCAUAUGUUGUUGUUUUGAAAGUGCUGUGCCCUUACUGUUUGAUUAUUUAUACAUUGGUCAUAUAUAUAUAUAUAUAUAUAUAUAUAUAUAUAUAUAUAUAUUAUUUUACAUUGUUACUUAAUGGAAAGUGACUCUCAAAUUUAAACUAUUACGUUAUAAAAAUUAAGGAAAAUGAUAUUUUUACACCAAUUUUUGACACUAUUUUGACACUGCACACGUGUCAAAACAUGGUUGGACGAUAUUAAAUUAAAAAAACUGAAACAAGGACAUAUUUGGAAGAAAAAAACCAAACUUUUUUUUUUAAUUUGAAAUCAUCCAACCACGUUUUGACACGUGUACAGUAUCAAAAUGGUGUCAAAAAAUUGGUGUCAAAAUAUCAUUUUUCAAAAAUUAAAUCAAAAUGUGAAAGAAUGUGUGAGUUCUAUUUUAAUUGAAAAUAUGUAUAUGUCAGAAUUUCUCUUCAAGAACUUUUAGGAAGAAAAAAAAAAUGAAAUUAGUAUCUCAAUAAAUUAAAAAUAAUUUAUUAAUAAAUUAAUCUAUUGACAUUAUUUUACGUAGCUUCUUAAGAGUUAUUUUUAACUUACGUAUGAUGCCAUUUUAGUUUAUGAAAAACUUUAUGUAUUUUUAUUUUUUUUAUCUUAAAAGUUGUUAAGGAGAAACUCGUAUUACUAUAAAGACUCCUAUUACAUAUUUAGACAGAAUAUACGAUUUAAUGUGCGAAAGUUUUAGUGGAAUAAACAGUCAAUUAACAUAACAUGGUAGGGAUUAUCAACCGAAUACAUUUCCUACUCACGGUUAUACCUACAAACAUCAAAGCAUUUUUUUUUAAUCAACAAAGAAUAAAUAUAAUUAUAUUGGAUCACUUGGUUGCUCUAUCCCAUUUACAUAAUAUAUGUUAGUAUUUUAAUCUGAAUAUCUCCCAACUGUAAUAACUGUCCUCUGACAGUUAUUCUCAUUCUUUAGUUUUACUCUUUAAAUACUUCUUUUGUACUCUCUAUUUCAAUUUUCUUCAAUAAGAAUAACUCUCAUUUUCUUCAAACUCUCUUACACUCUGUAUUCUCUCCUCUGCAUAAUUGCUUCUCUGCAUAAUUCUUCCAAACUGUAACAUUGGUAUCAGGAGCUAGGAAAUUCGGUGAAGACAGCUCAAGUCAUUUCAAGAAGAAAAGUGUUCGUGAGUAAUGGCUGGAAUGAUGCACAGCAACCUACCUGUUUUCGAUGGCAAAGGAUUCGAUGAUUGGUGUAUUAAGAUGGACGCGAUCCUCGGCUUUCAAGAGGUAGAUGAAAUUGUAAGAAAAGGUUUUAAAGAACCUGUCAAGGAUGAUUCAGAAGCAGCCAAGAAGCUAUACAAGGAAAACAAGAAGUUGGAUUGCAAAGCAAGAAUGUUGUUGCAUCAGUGCAUAUCGGCAACAAUUUUUCAGAAAGUCUCAAAGGCUACUACGGCGAAGGAGAUUUGGGAUAUCUUGCAAGAUGGUUAUGGCAAUUCUGGAAAGGUCAAGAAGACAAGAUUACAGUCAUUGCAGAGACAGUAUGAACUUCUCGCCAUGAAGGAGCAAGAAACAGUGGUCGAAUACAUUGGUAGACUUCAAUUGAUUGUGAAUGCAAUGAGAGCGUGUGAUAAGAUUGUCAAAGACAAGAAAAUUGUAGAGAAAAUACUCAGAACCCUAACCCCUCAAUUUGAUCAUAUAGCUUUGACCAUAGAAGAAACUAAAGAUCUCGAGAAGUUGAAGGUGGAGGAAUUGCAGAAUUCUUUAGAAGCGCAUGAGCAAAGAUUAAUCGAAAGGAGAAAUGUUGAAAAAGGCGAAAAUCAAGGCGUGAGUCAAGCAUUACAAGCCAGAAAUGAUUACAAACCCAGAGGCCGUGGGAGAGGCAGAGGUCGAUCAAGAGGAGGACGCAAUGGUGGUAGAGGCAUGAAACCAUCAGAUCAAAGUAAUGAAGAUAAUGGAGGUGAACAAAAGAAUGGAAGUGGUCGAGGAGGUCGACACUCGAGAGGCAGAGGCAGAAAGGGUUAUGACAAAAGGAGUAUCCAGUGCUUCACUUGCAGCAAAUACGGCCAUUAUUCCACGGAGUGUUGGCAUAAUGAAGAUUCGAAGGGAACCAAGAAUGGAGGGUCAGCCAAUCUUGCACAAGAAACUGAAGAAUCAGAGUCUGAUCAUAUUGUGUUAAUGAGCACAAUUGAAAGAUUCGAAAAAGGGCAAUGUAAGAAAUUGACGUUGAACGGGAUUAAGCAAGAAAUGAUUCUGGUGGACAGAUGCAACGAAGCACAUGUGUCAAUCUCAGAAGAAAGUGGAGAACACGUGUCGUCAUCGUUCGAAAGAAGACAUGCAGCAAAAGACGUAGCACCCGCACAUACGUUGUCGUUCGAAAUGAGACAUGAAGCGAAAGAUGUAGCUCCCACACAUGCGUUGCUCUCAAACGGUGUAAAUCAAGCGGCGAAUGAUGAUUCAUGUAGCUGGUAUUUGGACACGGGUUGUUCGAACCAUAUGACAGGGAGACGAGAAUGGUUAGUAAACCUCGAUCCAAGUAUAAAGAGCCGUGUGCGAUUUGCGGACAACAGCACGAUCAUGGCGGAAGGAGUUGGCAGAGUCUUGAUCACUUGCAAGAACGGUAAGAUCGCUUACAUGGAUGACGUCUUGUAUGUUCCUUCAAUGAAGAGCAACUUGUUGAGUUUAGGGCAACUCCUGGAGAAAGGGUACACCAUGUCUAUGCAUCAGCGACAUAUAGAAAUAUUUGACAGCAAACAACGUCCUGUGAUUAAAGCACCACUUGCCCGUAACAGGACUUUCAAAGUGAAUUUGAACGCUGCAGCUAUACAGUGUUUGUCUGUCUCAAACCACGAAGAAGAAGGAUGGCUAUGGCACUACAGAUACGGGCAUCUAAAUUUCAAAGGCCUGAGUCAAUUGAAAGGCAAGGAUUUGGUGAAAGGUGUGCCUUCAAUAUUUGUUCCAGACAGAAUCUGUGAGGGUUGUGCUAUAGGCAAGCAAUCUAGAAGGAGAUUUCAACAAUUGGCACCCAAAAGAGCGAAACAGCCUCUGGAUGUUGUCCACUCAGACGUUUGCGGCCCCUUCGAUGUUCCAUCAGUUGGAGGUAACAAAUAUUUCUUGUUAUUUGUAGACGAAUGGACGAGAAAAAUGUGGAUAUAUUUGUUGAAAGCAAAGAAAGAGGUAUAUUCAUAUUUUGUGAAAUUUUGCUCUUUGGUGGAGAGACAAUCUGGCUCGCAGGUUAGGGUGUUCAGAACCGAUGGAGGAGGAGAGUUCAACUCCUCUGAGAUGGACAAGUUUUGCACUGAAAAAGGCAUUGUGCAUGAAGUAACGGCUCCCUACACACCACAGCAUAACGGCCUAGCUGAAAGAAGGAACAGGACGAUAGUUGAUAUGACGAGAUGUAUGAUUAAAGCCAAGCAAUUGCCGCAUUGUUUGUGGGGAGAAGCAACAUCUACUGCUGUCUAUCUUCUGAAUAGAAGUCCUACGAAGGCCUUGCCUACAUGUACCCCUGAAGAAGCCUGGUCUGGAAUUAAACCAACUGCAUAUCAUUUGAGAGUUUUCGGGUCUGUGUGCUAUAGACACAUCCCAGAUGAACGAAGGAAGAAACUGGAUGAUAAGAGUGAGAUUCUCAUCUUUGUUGGCUAUCAUCCUACAGGUGCUUACAGACUGUAUGACCCAGUAAAGAAGCAGGUUGUCAUCAGUCGAGAUGUGGUGGUGGAUGAAACAACAACAUUUGACUGGGAGAAGGCUGAAGAAAAAUCUGAAGGAGGUUGUAUUCCAAGUUGGCUUGAGGAUAAGAGUUCCUUCAAUGAUGAGCAAACAGACGCAGACCGUGAAAUUAACAAUAGAAGAUCACAAAGGACAAGGUUUCCAUCCACCAGACUUACAGACCAUGAAGUCUUUCCUGACAAUGAAGUUACUAGCUCAGGUGAUCUUGUACAUUUUGCGUUUUUGGCCGACACAGAACCACUGACCUGGAAGCAAGCUAUUGAUGUAAAGGAGUGGAGAGAAGCCAUGUUGGAGGAACUUAAGGCAAUAGAGAAAAACAGAACCUGGGAGAUGGUGGAAUUACCUCAGCAUAAACAGCCCAUUGACGUUAAAUGGGUGUUUAAAAUCAAGCACAAACCAGAUGGUGAAGUAGCAAAGUUCAAAGCCAGAUUGGUGGCAAGAGGUUUCUUACAAAAGCCUGGAGAGGAUUUCACUGAUGUGUUUGCUCCUGUUGCACGACUUGAAACAGUGAGGUUGUUGAUUGCUGUGGCCAAUAUUAAAGCUUGGAGAAUUUGUCAAAUGGAUGUUAAAUCCGCUUUUCUGAACGGUUUUUUGGAGGAAGAGGUUUAUGUGAGACAACCUCCAGGUUUUGUGAAGAAAGGAGAAGAAGGAAAAGUGUAUAGAUUGAACAAAGCUUUAUAUGGUCUCAGGCAGGCACCUCGUGCUUGGAAUAACCAUAUCAACGCAGUUCUGCUCAAACUGGGAUUCAAGAGGUGCUCCGUAGAAUCUGGAGUCUAUGUGAAAUCUGGUGAAAGGCAAGGUAUGUUGUUGAUAUGCCUAUAUGUGGAUGAUCUUCUUAUAACAGGAGACUCAAUAGAUGAAAUUGAAGAAUUUAAGAAGAAGAUGAAGGAGGAAUUUGAGAUGACAGAUCUCGGUGGUUUAAGCUACUUCCUGGGUUUGGAAUGUGUGCAGACAAGCGGUGGAAUGUUUCUUAGUCAAAGGAGAUAUAUUAGCAAUGUGUUGAGAAGAUUUAAGAUGGAAAACUGCAACAGUGCAGCAGUACCAAUAAUGACAAAUUUGAAGUUGAUAGACAAUCCAGAUGAGAAGAAGGUGGACGCCACUUUAUAUAAACAAAUGGUAGGAUCCUUGCGUUAUAUUUGUAAUAGCAGACCCGAUAUCUGCUAUGGAGUUGGGCUGGUGAGCAGAUUUAUGCAGGAGCCUAGACAAUCACAUCUUGCUGCUACCAAACACAUAUUGCGAUAUUUGAAGGGAACUUCAAAUUUUGGUCUGUUCUUCCCCAAAAACCCGAACAACAUGAGAGGAGUUUUGGAGGCUUGGUGUGAUGCUGACUGGUGUGGUGACAAAGUUGAUAGGAAAAGUACUUUUGGGUACUUGUUCAGAUAUAUGGGAGCGACUGUUUCGUGGUGCUCCAAGAAGCAGAGCGUGGUCGCAUUAUCCUCUUGCGAGGCUGAAUAUAUCGCAGCUGCUGAGACUGCGUGUCAGUGUGUGUGGAUGGAAACUAUGUUUGAUGAACUAAGGAUUGAGUACGGAAAACCGGUGCAGCUCUCAGUGGAUAAUAAAUCAGCAAUAUGUUUGUCCAAAAAUCCAGUUUUUCACGGUAGGAGCAAACACAUUGAAACCAAAUUUCAUUUCCUAAGAGAUCAAGUCAGCAAAGGUAGAUUGGAGCUGGUUCAUUGCAGCACUGAUGAUCAAAUUGCAGAUGUGUUCACCAAAGCUUUGAAGCAAGUCAAAUUUGAGAAACUUAGAGAAUUGCUUGGUGUUAAAACUUUUGUAAAUUCAGAUUAAGGAGGGCGUGUUAGUAUUUUAAUCUGAAUAUCUCCCAACUGUAAUAACUGUCCUCUGACAGUUAUUCUCAUUCUUUAGUUUUACUCUUUAAAUACUUCUUUUGUACUCUCUAUUUCAAUUUUCUUCAAUAAGAAUAACUCUCAUUUUCUUCAAACUCUCUUACACUCUGUAUUCUCUCCUCUGCAUAAUUGCUUCUCUGCAUAAUUCUUCCAAACUGUAACAUAUAUACAAAUUAUUUUUUUCUACAUUAGUCAUAACGUUGAUUUGAAAAUUUUUCUAAUAUAAAAAAAUCUUUUUAUACUAGUUAAAAGAGGUUUUCUAUACCAAUUGUAAAAUCGAUAUAUAGAAACAAACAAUAAAAAAGUUUUAACUUUUCUAUAACGAAUUCAUAAUUGGUAUAGGAAGUUUCUUUUUUUCAUAAUGGUUAAUACCACAAUCGGUAUAAUAACCUAAUGCUUUCUUUUUCUUUUGUUCGCCUAUGAACAUAACAUUCUUAAACACAUCAACCAUGAAUCUAGAGCAAAACCAAGAACUAAAAAAUAAUUAUUCACUAAUUGAAUGCCCCACAAUUGCAUCUGUUGUCAUCGUUGACGUCUGACACUUCUUUAGAGCCUUUGAACAUAACAUCACUUCUUCUCUUGAGCAUUCUUUUCAAACAAAAACAACCAAGGUGCAAUAACUUCAAAGAACCUCUAAGUCAUCGCUCUAUACUUAUACUUGUGGUCGUCGACGGUUUCGCUAACACAACCUUUUUCUCCCUCUUAAGGGUUUCUCCAUAUCUCCCAAGUGUUUAUCUCCUCAUGCUUUGUUGCCAAUAUGUUGUGACGGCUUACAACUAGAGGUGUAGCACUACCUCGUCACCAUCGUCUAAGUCGUUGUUGGUGCUGGCGCAACCUCUCUACUCCUUCCACUUCAUAUGAGUGUCUUCCUUCUUGCUCACCAAAAUUAAAAUCCUCUCCAUUAUACUGAGAGUGACACCACUUAAUCUUGUUGUUGAUCGUCGCUAAACCAAUAUUCAGAUAUGUUUUUGGCACAUUGUUCUUUACAAUUAAUAAACAUGAGGAUCCUUUAGAAAUCUUCCUUUGAGAAUUUUGAUAUAACGUUGAGAUUCCCAAAGUCUUGUUGACUUUUUUGUUGUGUUACAUUUGUGUUGUUUAUGGGUGCUAGCUAAGAUAAAUGAAAGCGUUAGAGAAGAAUGGUUGGAUGGAAUUUAUUAUAUGAAAACUAUGAGUAUGGAGUUGAAGAUCACAAAUAAUAAUCGAGAGUUCAGAGAUAUGACAAAAUUUUUUGAAAUUAUCGACGGAAAUAAAUUUGUCUAUAAAUUUGAAUUAUCGAAGGAUUUUGCUGACAAAUUUUUAAUUCCGUCAGUAAUGCAUAUUUCAUUUACCGACAAAAUUUUUCGUCGAAAAAUCCGUCGAUAAUACAUAAUAAAUUUAUCGGUGAAAAAAUUUAUCAUUAAUACAUAUUAAAUUUAACAAUGGAAAGGUUUGUCGGUAAAUCCAUAGGAAAUACAUAUUAAAUUUAUCGAUGGAAAAAUAUGUCGGUAAAUCUGUUGGUAAUACAUAUUUAAUUUACCGACGGAAAGUCCUUCGAUAAAUCCUUUGAUAAAUACGUCGAUAAAAAGAACGACAAAUUUCCCACCCAUUCUUUGUCUCUUUUCGCGAACUGCACAUUACUUUUCUCACCACUUUUCUUUUAUUUUCAAAACCCUCUUCAUCUUCUUUUCUCUCCGUGAGGCAGCCCCUCAUCUCUCCUAUUUUUUCCAUCUAAGCUUAGAUUACCGCAACUCUAGGCCCAUUUGAUGCGCCUCCAUCUUUGUUUAGCCAAACCGCCAUCUACGUCGCCAUCUAUGUCGUCAAGCUUGGGAUCUUUCGCUUCGCUUCAUCUUCUUCUUCUUUAACACAUGUAAGGGAGAGAUCAUGGUUCAGUUCUUCCUUUUUCAUGCAAGGGCACAUCCAAGCUAGGUGCACUAUUGUCGUGCCACGCACUAGCACCACUAUGCAUCAUCGUUGGACCAUGAUGGAUUUGAAGCCAACAAAAUCCUUUUAUUCUCUUUUCUCUCUUUUUUAUUUGUAUUUGUGGUGAAAUAAUUUGAUAGGUUGGCUAUAAUUUUGUGUAGGUUAUGAAAUUGUUGUAAUAAUAGUUGGGUGAUAAUAAAAUUGUGUAACAAACCAAAGUGGAAUAGUGAAUAAAAGCAUAACGAUGAAAUUUUGUGCAUAAAAUUGUAUCAAUUUGUGUAACAUUCGAUUAUAAUGUGUCCAUUUUUGUUGAUUGAAAAAAAAAUAAGGGAAAGAAGAAAGGAAGAGGGGAAGAAGUUGAACCAGAUCUUAGUAGUUUGCAACCAAUUCAUUUUUUGUAUCUGUUAGGUCCAACCAAUAUAUGAAGUGUUCUACUUAUUUACCAAAUUGUCACCACAUUAGAUGGAGAACUAACCCAUGACUCCAUAUAAGAAGAACUUGAGGAGGAGCCUUUUGCAUGAAGGUAUGAAGGUCAUAGCUUGGAGCACAAUCUUGGUAAUACCUACACUUGUGGUGCAUCAGGUUUUUUCUUUUUGUUUAUUCAUUGUGUAUUAGUGUUGCCUUUGUUGUUUAGGCAAGGCUUCCAAAGGGAGUGUGUGUAGACUCUUAUUUAAGAAUGUGUUUUGUUGUGAUUGAGAGAGUGAGAGUAUAUUGAGUGAGUCUUGUAUUCUAUAAAUCUUGACAUUUGAUUUUAGUGGACUUCAACUCGAGUUGUUGAAAAAAAGAUUGAAUGUAAAUUCUUGAAGAGUUGAACCGAUAUAAAUCUUGUGUUGUUUUCUUUCACUAAUCUUGUUAAAUCUUUGGAAUGUUAAAAGAUUCAUUGAAAACAACCUUAUACACCAAUUUUUUUUAAAGAAAGUUAAAAGGAAUUUUCAAACAAAUUCACUACCUCUUGUUUUGUAAUAUAUUUUUUCGUAGAACAGGAUAACCAAGCAUUAUCACCAUCAUACAACACCGACGUUGGUAAAAUUAAAAGAAAAAAGGAGAAGAGAAAAAAAAUGAACUAGAUUGCGAUAUUUACCGACAACUUUAUCUGUCGAUGUUUACCGAUAAAUUUUUCUUUUAAUAAUUUUAGACAAUUUUUUUUUCCAAUGAUUACUGACAUAUUAAUAAAAUCCUUUGAUAAAAUUUACUAACAACAAUUUUACCAACGAAUUUUUUGUUAUCAAUAAACUUUCAAUAAUUUUAAUUUACUGAUAAAUUUUGUACAUUAUCAACAAAUUUUAAUUGUUAAUAAUAUCGAUUUUUAUCUAUAAUAAAUGCUCUAAUCUUUUACCUGUAUAUCAUCUGUCGCAAUCGGAAAAUCGCGACGGGACGACGAUCCAAAAAGAAAAUAAUUUGAAAAAUGUUUUGGAGUCGCUACUAUAGUUUAUUAUGGAAAACUACGGAAAAACCGUAAAAUGAUAAGGCAAGGUCUACAAAACCAAAUUCUGGUUUCGGAAGUCGGUUACGUGUGGGGAAGGUGUUAGCACCCCCACAGCGCCUGCCCUAAGGCAGUACCUUUAACUAAAUACGUGAAUUUGAUGUGGUUUGCAAAAUGUUUAAUUUCCCCUAAAAAAUAAGACUCUAAAGAAAACAAAAUAUUUUUUGUGUUUUUUGUGUCUGACAAGGAUUGACCUUGCUCCUAUGUAUUCUCAGUUGAACUGAGAAAUCAGGGUUACGUAGUUCUUUAAUUAUGUUCAGAUGAUUGUUUGAAAACAUGAUGUUUUAUAUUUUUUGUUAAUUUUUUGAGAGGAGAAGAAAAAGGUUUUUAACACAAGGCUGAUGCAAAUGGUCGCACGUGUGCUUAAACCUUUUAAAAUAAUAUUUUUUUAUAUUUUUAAAUAGAAGAAGAAAAAGGUUUUUAACACGAACGGUCGCACGUGUGCUUACACCUUUUAAAAUAAUUUUUGUAUUUUUAAAUAGAAGAAGAAAAAAAGGUUUUUAACACAAGGCUGACGCGAAUGGUCGCACGUGUGCUUACACCUUUUAAAAUAACUUUUUUUUUUUAAAAGAAGGAGAAAAAGGUUUUCAACACAAGGCUGAUGCGAAUGGUCGCACAUGUGCUUAAACCUUUUUAAAAUAAUAAUUUUUAUUUUUAAAAGAAGAAGAAAAAAAAAGGAUUUUUAACACAAGGCUGACGCGAAUGGUCGCACGUGUGCUUAAACCUUUUCAAAAUAUUUUUGAUUGAUAGUUUUUAUGAUUUUUAUAUUUUUUUUAUUUUUAACAAACAAACAAUGAUAAAACAAAUUCUAAAGCUAAAGAAAUAAAAGCGAAGGCAAUAAUAAAAAAAACAAUAUAGUCCAAUAAGUCCAAUAAAAAAAGGGAGGGCAGAAGACAAAACCAGGGGUGCAACAUGAAACUUAUUGGCCCAUGACCAGAGGUAGGGGUGCAGCAGAUGAAAAUUGGUGGUGCGUUUGGUAGGUGCUGGCCCAAGCCCUUUUUCGUUUUUGUUGAAGCACGGUGGAGGUGUGAAUGGAAUUGAACAUGGUGGCCAGUAGAUAGAAAGUUGUCCAAUAGGCCUAAGGCCCUUUGCCCCAAAUCAGAACAAUAGGGGUUCUACCAAUUUCCUCUCAUUUGUGCAAGCACCAUCAUGACCCAGGGCCAUUUUCUUCUCUGAACGAAGGAAACAGAGACGCACCUCUACUCAACCGACCACCACAAGCUUCCAUCCAAGUCUUCACCGACAACGCCGCUUGCCACUGGGGCCAUCGCCGGCCACCGUGAGGGUUCUCCCCUUUCUUUCUCUCGCACGAGAGAUCUUCUUGUUCGUGAGUGACGUAGGCUGUUCGUCAUGCAAGUUGCCGUUGCCACCGAGCCAGGGUCGUCGUUCCCCGUCGAGCCUUCCUUCUUCCAUCAUCGCGCCACUGCCAAGGUCAUCGUCGCAACUGCAUCAAACGAAAUUCACGAGACCAUUCACGCCAACUCCUCCCUCCAUGGGUGUACCUUCGUCCAAUCAUUCCACUUCAAGUCAUCGACCUACGGCACCACUUGCCAUUGAUCUAGGUUCGCCGCAACUUUCUCCAAUUAGGCUUACCUUUGCUGCGUCUCCGAGAGCCACCACGAGUCUUCUUGUGCAACUUGCUUCAGAUUUGCCUAAAAAGUCAUCAGAACAUCUGUGUUGAUAUUGUUGCCACCCUUCGUGUAAACUUAGAACUUGCCUCUGAUAUCUGUUUUUUACUUUGAGUGUUGAGAUGAGUUCGUGUGAUGGUGAUGGAGGUAGUGAAUGAGUUUCUCUAUUUUUGUGUUUGGUGUUUCUGUGAUGGAGGGGGGUCGUGAGUGAUUGGCCCUUCUUUGUGUUUUUUAGGUGUCAGACCGAAUGGAAGGGAGGGGAUGGUGAUUCUGUUGAGUUGAUGAGGUUGGAGAUAAUGGUGGAUGCUCUGGUUUUGAGUGUAUCGAAGGUGAUGGAAUGGAAGAACGACGAGAGAGAUGAUUCUGUUGGAGGAAAAUGGGUUCCCUCCUUGAGGUUUGUGUUUUUGGCCGAAGGGAAAAAGAAAAAUGGGUAAGUGAUUGGUGUGUCAGGAAGGAAAUUCCUCCGGAGGUGUGCGUGUUGAGUGAUGGAGAGGAGUGUGUGAGGUUAAUCUAUUGGAUGAACGUCUGAUGGUCUAUUGCUUGAAUGGGGGAAUUAGAGAAGAAGGUGUCAAUAAUGGAUGUUGUUGGAGAUGAAGGGAGGAUGCUUUAUGUGUUGCGUGAUGAGGUGUGGUGUGCGUGAGGAUGGUGUGCCUCUUCCUGAAGGCCUCCCUCUUUGCCAGUAUAUCCUCUGCCAAUCCACACCGUGUCUGCCAACCCAAUCGUGCCUGCAAAAAUCGUUUCUUGCUCCCUUGCUGUCCAACCCCGUACACACUGCUCCUAUCCCAGCUAAAACCUCUCUUUUCUUUUACUUUUUUUUUACUAAAAGACAAAAAACUACACUUUUUUUCUUUUUUUUUCUUUUUUUUUCUUUCAUGUUUUUUCUUUUUUUUUUUCGUUUUCCUUUUCUUUUCUUUUGGUUCUUUCGUUUUGUUUUUUGUUUUUUCUUUCUUUCCUUUUUUUUCAUUUCUUUUCUUACUUAUUUUUUUUAUAUAUUUUGUUUUUCAAAUAGAAAAUAAAAUCAAAUGAUAGCUAAAUCAAAUAUCAAAAAACUAAAAACUAAAAUAAAAUAAGACACAUAAAAAAAUAAGUCCUACUAUUUAGUCACCCAGACGAAAUUGUGGUUGAUAUGAUUAUACUUUUCUCUUCAUGUAACAAGAAGAAACUAUCACUGUCACAUGUUUCCUGAAGUUUAUUUUUUAUGGAGUAAAUUAGUUUUGGCAAUUUGAUGCGUUAUGUACACUACUUUGAUUCUUCAAUUAAAGAAGUUUGUCAGUCAUAAUUGUACUACUACAUGAACUCAAUAUCCUACUUAUCCUACCUAACAAUUCAAUUGUUUUCUCCAUAAUAGUGUAAUAUAUAUUAGUAUUUUAAAUAAAAAAAACAAUAGUAUAUAAUUAAUAUAUUAAUUUAUUAAGUUAUUAAGCAAAUGUUUUUAUUUUUUACUGGUGUCAAAAUAACAUGUCUUUUUUUUUAAAAAAAUAAAAACUUUCAAACCCUCAGCAUUCAGACUCUUUCUAGUUUUAAGUUUAAAAAUAAAAAACAUGAUAAAGUAUUAUUUUUUUUAUGAGUUAAGUGGAUGUUUUUGUCUCUUUGUCAUGUCAAAAUAUCAGUUUUUUUAAAGAUUUGACACGCCUUAGAAUAAAUACAUUCAGAUCAAAACAUGCUAUAAUACGUUAGGGUGGACAAAUUGAACUGAACUGUACUGCACUGCUAAAAUCUGAACUGAACUCUAAAACAGUUCAGACAAACUGAACUGAACUGUAAAACAGUUCAGAAAAACUGAACUGAAUUGUUUUUCGUUUUAUUAAACUGAAUUGAAUUGUACUGUACUAAAUUACAGUAUGAACUAAACUGAACUAUUAAUUGAAUUGUAAACUACACUAACUGAACUAUUAACUGAAUUAUAAACUGCACUAAUUGAACUGAACUAUUUAUUAACUAAAUUGUAAACUAAUUUUAACUAAAGUAUAAUAUAAACUGAACUACUAACUAUACUAAUUUUAAACUAAAUUGUACUAAUUUUUAAACUAAAUAUUAUAACAAUACAUAUUGAAAUUUAUUUUAAUAUUUAUUUUAUUUUAUUCAUAAGUAUCUAAUAAAAUGAUUUUUAAUUAUUUAAUAUUAUUAUUUUCUAUUUUAUUUAUAUUUCUUUUAUUAUUAAAAAUUAUUUUAUUUUUUAUUUAUUUACUUAUAUAUAUAUAUAUAUAUAUAAAUGUAUAUAUAUAACUUAAAAAAUAUAAAAAUAUAAAUUAUGUUUUUUAUUUUUAUUGAUAAAAAAUGGAAAUUUUGUGAUAAAAAAAUUGUCUUAAAAAAUUAAUUAUUAUUUUUUUAUGUGAACAAUUUUAUUUAUUAGUAUUUUAUUAUUAAAUAAAGUUUUCUUGAGUUGUACUGAAACUAGAGAAGAUAUAAGAGUAAAUACAGUUCUCACAGUUAACUGAACUGUAAUGUUAUAAAAAACUGAACCAUAAAACAGUAUACUGAACUGUUAGUAAAAGUGGUUCAGUUAUUUUUAGUAUAAUAUAGUACAGUUAACUACAGUACAGUACAGAUCAGUUAUUUUUGCCCAACCUAAUACAUUGGGUUGAUUUGAUGAUAAUUUUGAUGAUGUAUGCAAUUUUGUUGUUGUUAUUGAUUCGCCUUAUUCGUCUCACUUAUUGUCAAAAAUAUCAUUAUCCUAGUUGAAAAUAGGAAUGCAUGCCAAACGAAUCAUAGUAUGCAAAAGGAAAUGUAUAGGAGAGACUGAACUUUUGAGCUCCCGUAACUUGUAAUUCACGUUGCUAAUAUGAGAGAAGACGUUUGCAUAAAUUUAAAUUAAAAAAGAAUUAUAUUUUUUAAUAUUAAAUAGAAAGAUAAAUAUAUCAUUAUAUAUAUAAUCAUUAUAUAUAUAUAUAUAUAUAUAUAUAUAUAUAUAUAUAUAUAUAUAUAUAUAUAAAUUAUUAACCAAGCAUUCAUAUAAAUACGGGAAACUAAUCACUAAUCACUAAUCACUAUGAUUUAAUAAUGCGCAUACUUUAAAAGAAAACUUUAAUAUCUAAAUUGGAAAAAAUUAAGAUUCAAACAGUAUAAUUGUUAUUUUGUUUUGAGGGAAUAUUUUAGUGAUUAUAUUUAAAUUAUAUUUUUUUCAUUCUUUUGCUUGUUAAUUUAAAAUAAAUAAAUUAAAAUAUAAAUAAUCUUUAUGUGGGCUAUCCUACGAGUCAAAAUGUUACGUGGAAGAAGCCAAGAAAAUUAAUUUGCAUGUCAUUGAUAGCCCUGAUUCACUUUUUAUGCACCAAAUGCAAAGCAGAACAAAACAGGACGCAUUCUCACCCUAUAAUAAAAAGAAAAUAUAUUUUAAUAAUUUUUUAGACAAUGUUUUUGAACGGUUUUUAUGGAAACGAAUCGGUAAAAUAAUAAUAUAUAAUUUGUUGUCAAAAAAUUAUAAAAUAUUAUAAUAAAAAAUAAAUAAAUGUAUGAGUCUUUCUAUAUAUAUAUUAAUCAUUUUAUUUGUAUUUAUUUAAUGUGAGAUUUCAAGGGCUUGAAUUCUUAAGAUAUGACAUACAUGUACUUAUCAUCAUGAUAAAUAAAUGACGUGGCAUUUUAGCAAAAUUAUUAUAAACCGGCGGAAAAACAUUUUGGUAGCUAACCGAAUCUUAUUAAAGCAUCAAAUUCAUAUAUAUUUUUUCUUGAGGAGUUGAUAAUGUUGAGAAUUAGAUAAAUCUAUUUUAAUUAAUUUAUCUUUUUAAAUUUCUGUUAAAUGAUUCUUUAUUUCCUGACUUUUAUUUUUCAAAAUUUCAAAAUAUUAAUUAUUUUAAUAGAUGGACCGAAUUAUUCAAUCGGCUUUUUAUUAUUAUACUUUACCACAACGUUUUAUUGAGAGAAAUAAAAUCUUAACCCUCUUUUAAAAAUAAACAAGGUCGUGCUCCACGGGAAACAUAAAAUAUUCCUCGCCACGAGCUUUAAUGUUAUAUAUAAUUUAUUUACUACUAUUAUUGCUGUGCUUCGUGAAGCUCGUGGAUUUUAACUGUUGUUAAAAUAAGAAAUAAAAUGUUAUCUCUGAUGUCUCUUUUUAUUUUUAUAUUAUAACUUUUCUAAUUAUUAAAAGAAAGGUUGCUAUCUUUUGUGACACGUGUCUCAUUGGAUUGCUAAAACAAAGUCAACUUCUUGCUUUAAUUUGUAUUGUGUCAAAUAACUAUCGAAUAUGUUUGUAUAUUUUAAAAUUACAAAACAAUAUAUAUAUAUAUAUAUAUAUAUAUAUAUAUNNNNNNNNNNNNNNNNNNNNNNNNNNNNNNNNNNNNNNNNNNNNNNNNNNNNNNNNNNNNNNNNNNNNNNNNNNNNNNNNNNNNNNNNNNNNNNNNNNNNNNNNNNNNNNNNNNNNNNNNNNNNNNNNNNNNNNNNNNNNNNNNNNNNNNNNNNNNNNNNNNNNNNNNNNNNNNNNNNNNNNNNNNNNNNNNNNNNNNNNNNNNNNNNNNNNNNNNNNNNNNNNNNNNNNAUAUAUAUAUAUAUAUAUAGAUAAUAAUAUUUAGACAACAUUUUUUUGACAAUAUUUGAACAUUGAUUAUGUUUUAAUAUGUGAUUGGUCAUAAAUUACUUUAUAAUCAAUAAUAAUAAUCACAAACACUAUUAUAAAAUAAUUUACGACCAAUCACGUAAUCAAUGUUAAAAUGUUAUCAAGAAAAUAUUGUCUAAAUAUCAUUAUCAUAUAUAUAUAUAUAUAUUAAUUAGAAAAACCAUAUAAACAAUCAAAUUAAAUAUAUAAGUUCUUCACUUAAAACAAAUAAAAGCAUAAAAAUACAUCAAUAUAUAAAUUCCAAUUUUGUAUAGUUUCUUAGCUUAGCAAUUACAUUAAAAUAACUGAGUCCAACUUCAUCCUUAUCCAUAUAUUGUACUUGCAUAGCAUGACAUCUAAUCUUUUACUUACACUGAGCACGUCGCUAAAGACAUCUAUAUAGUCUCUCCGAAUUUUUUUAAAAUCUUUUUAUUAUAAAUGAAUUUGAAUUAAUUUUAUUCUAAUAGCCUUAAAGAAUAAAAAGUAUAAAAAAAAUUGACAAUAAUUAUCUUCGUAUAAUUAUAGAUCAUAAUUAUACAGUUCUGUUAUGAACUUUACAAAUAUUUAGACUAUAUAUAAAUGAACAAAAUUGAUUAUUAUAUAUCUUUUCUGUUAAAACCAACAUUGAAAAUGAUGAUUUUCAGAAAAUAUUUUUAUUGGUAAGAAAAAAAAAUUGGUUUUCGGAUAAAAAACUCGUUUCAAAAUUCUACGAUAUCAUAUUUCACAACAUUAUGGAUCAAACUACCAAUAAUUGCUUUCUUUUUUUAAAAAUUGCCAAUUCUUUACAUUUCUCCACCUAUAACAUUUCAAAUAUCUUAACACAAAUUAUUAUUUUUCAUUAAAAAUCGAGUUAUUUUAAAAAUAUAUUUCAUUAAUUUAAUAAAUUAACUAUAAUUCAGUUAUUAAAUUUAGAAAAAAAUAUUAAAAUAAUUUACCCACAUGUUGUGAAUGUCUCUCUUUCAUAAAUGAACCUUUGUUUCUAUUCUGAGCUCUUUCUUUCCUUCUUUUUUCCUUUCUCUAUGUUGGAAAUUGAACUCUCCAUAUAUAAUUAAACCAUGUAUUAUCUUAUGAUUUUUGAAGUAGAAACACGUGCUGCUAUAGCACCAUCUUUGGUUCUAUAUAAAGAACCAAAAUGCAGUACACCAAAACAUCUCCAACAACACCUUCCAAAUCGAUCAACCAUGAAGCCAACCCUAGUUCUUGCUCUCUCUUUCCUCCUUCCCCUCCUUGCUUUCUUCACCAACCUUCCCUUAGCUUUCUCAGAUGAUGUUCAACAAGUUGUGGACAUAUAUGGGAACCCCAUUUUCCCAGGUUUCAUAUACUACAUCAUCCCAGCAAUCCGUGGUCCAGCUGGUGGUGGAUUGAAACUUGCCCAAACUGGAAAGUCAGAGUGCCCUCUUACUGUUCUGCAAGAUUACUCAGAAGUCUUCCGUGGCCUCCCUGUGCAAUUCACCAUUCCCGGAAUCAGCCCUGGAAUCAUCUUCACAGGUACUAAUCAAUACUUCAUUGUCAUGAGAAUCGUUAGAAGUCUCAUCUCGACUGAAUGGAUGUAGUGAGCCGAUUUUGCAAGAUUGAAUUAGACUUAAAGUCUAUGGUAUUAUAGUUAUGAUCAGAAUCCAUCCUAACGAUAUUUGUUAUCUGUUGAACAUGUUGUUUCACCUGCUAUUAGGUCAUUAUCCGACUAUAUAUUAAUGUCUAGUCUCACGAUGAUAUGUUUAUACCUCAAUUUAUAGAUUGAAUUGAGCUUAAAUUUGAUUUCCUAACAAAUUUCUUAUAAAUGAUCUUCUGUUAUUAAUUUCAAGUUUUGGAAACUUCCCUAUAGGUACCAAACUGGACAUCGAGUUCGUACAUAAGCCAUUAUGUACAGAAUCCUCCAAGUGGUUGGUGUUCGUGGACGAAUCAAUCCAGAAAGCAUGCGUGGGAAUUGGUGGUGCCGAAGGCCAUCCAGGGCAACAAACUUUUGGUGGCAAAUUUCACAUUGAGAAAUACAAAUUUGGGUACAAGCUUGUUUUCUGCAUCACCGGCUCACCAACUUGCUUGGAUAUUGGGAGAUUUGAUGCAGAGAACGGUGAGGAAGGAAGACGCUUGAAUCUCACUGAGCAUGAAGCAUUCGAUAUUGUGUUCGUACCAGCUUUUGAAGCUGAUAAGGUUAUUAAGUCUGUAGUUUGAAUCAAAUAUCUCUAGUUAAUCAGAUUUUAGUUAAUGCAAUCAUAUGUUGUUUUGAUUUGCAUUACCUAAGAGAAUCUAGUCCAAAGACUGAAUAAGAUAGUUAAUUUCUAAUUUCUUGCCUGAUAUCUUUCUCUCUUUCAUUUCGUUCAAACUUCAAUGAAAGACAUUAAAAAAUUUAGGUUUAAUAUUCUGAAAUGCCCACACAAGCCGACGUGGUUCUGCCAUGCACAACUUUAAAUACUAAACAUCAUAUAUUAUAUAUAAUAAAAUAUUAGUCCUCGUGACCCUCGACCUAUUCGACCUAUAGUAAAAAAAGUAUGUUCAUUAAACAAUUCUAUAUAUAUAUAUAUAUAUAUAUAUAUAUAUAUAUAUAUAUAUAUAUAUAUAUAUAUAUAUAUAUAUAUAUAUAUAUAUAUAUGGAACGUUUAAUUAUGCUCAUGUAGCUUGAUUAUUUAUACAUUGGUCAUAUUUUUUUUUUUAUUAUUGACAUUGUUACUUAAUGGAAACUGACUCUCAAAUUAAAUCGAUAGGUUAUAAAAAAUUAAAUCAAAAUGUGAAAGAGUGUGUGAGUUUUAUUUUAAUUGCGAAUAUGUACGACAGAAUUUCUCUUCAAGAACUUUUGGGAAGGAAAAAAAUGAAAUUAGUAUCUCAAUAAAUUAAAACUAAUUUAUUAAUAAAUUAAUCUAUUGACAUAGCUUCUUAAAAAGUUAUUUUUAACUUACACUAGUAAAUAAACUAGUAAAUAAACAAUUUUUUAACUCAUACAUUAAGUUUCUUCAUAAAAAUUCAAUGGUAAUUUUAUAAUUAUGACAACAUUAUAUGUCUCGAUUCAUUAUGAAUUGAUAACUAAGGGUUAGUUCUUUGAUCAAUCGAGACAAAAAAUCUUGUUGACCCAUGUAAAUUAGACUUUUCAUCUGUCUGAGUUCUUUGACCAACUUAGACAUUAUGUCUUGUCAGAAACCGACAACAUUUAAUUAUGAUUGUUUGAAAUUUAUUUUGUCAACUUCUACGGCCUUGAUUAUAUUUUAACUGAUGUCAUAGGCCUUUUAUGCCUUAGGUUAACCGCGAAUUGAUGCUUACAAUUAUUAGAUAUUUUCAAAUUUUUCAUUUACAAUUUUAUUUUGAAUUUUUUCUAGAAGGUUUACGCAUAAGUUGUGUUUAUAACUGAGGUAAUAGUCUCUUUGAUAGUUAAAUUCCAUAGGUUCAACAUAUUAUAACGUACUUUCUGUCACCAAUUAUAAUAGUGUAUUAUGAAAUAUUUUCACUUAUUAGUCUUAAUAUAGCAAAUAUAUUAUGAUGUAGCUCGAUUUAUCUAUUAUAAUAUAUAGUAUUUUAUGAUAUAGAGCUUUUCACCUAUCAUAAUAUGUCGAAUAUAUUAUGACAAGUAAUUGUUCACCUAUCAUAAUAUAUGUUUUUCAUAAUUAACUUUAUUACAUACAUAGUUCACCUAUCAUAAAAACUUGUUUUGUUAAAAAAUAAUAAUUCAUUAUUACAUUUAACAUAUCCAAUCAAUUUCUUGUAUUAUCAUAUCAUCAAUCAAUUUAUAAUCAAUAUAACAUGAAAUGAACAUAUUUAAUUAAACUAAGUUUAAACCUCUUUUUGGUCCCUAAGUUAUAAGCUGGUGUUCAGUUUAGUCCCUGCUUUUAAGAAUGUCAACUUUUGAUCCCUAAGUUAUAAAAAAUGUUUCAAAUCAGUCCCUACCGUUAAAUAUCCACUAACGGAGUUAAUUUUUUUUCUCUCUCUUCUGCUCCUCUGAAUUUCUGUGAAGAUAACAACUUUUUCUUUCUCUCUCUUUUACGUCUCCUCUGAAUUUAUAUGAAAACAACAACUUUUACCAACGCUGUUGAUGAAGCUCCCCAAACUAUGCUUUCCUCUGCUGGCUCAUGCAGAUGACGACCACCCCUUCCUCUAUUAGACCCACCUCUGAAAAGUUUACUGAGCCAUUUCAUGAAACCAGACUUUCUCUCUGAGCGAGGAGAAAUAUAAUCCCCUGCAUCCCACCAAAAUUCCACCAUGUAUAUCAAGUUUAGUAAGAACCAGAAGAAGUAUAUCAAGUUUAGUAAGAACCAGAAGAAGUGAAAAUUCAAGUUCUAAAAAAAAAGCACCAUGGUCUAGAUAACUUAUUGGAACCACGUGAAAAGUAAAUUCCGAAACUUUGAGAAUACCUAUUUAGUAAAAUCAACAGAAAAAGUUUAAAGUUCAAACAAGAGCUUCAUGGGGUGGUUCACGCUUCUGCAAAAUCCAUUUUUUUUUUCUUUCUUCCACGUAAAUAUCUGUAAAGCAACCGCUUUGAAUAGAUGGGGGUGAUGAAGCUCAGAUUUUGCUGAAUAGUAGUGAAAGAGAAAGAUAGAGAGAAAAGAAUGAUGAUACCGUAUAUGCAUGGAUGAGAAAGAUGGUUGACAUGGAGCCAUAAGGAGGAAAAAAGCAAUGUUGUGAGAGAGAAGACGAGGGAAAUGAAAAUGACAGAGAGAUGGAGAAGAUUUGAGUGUGGUUGAAGAAGGGGCAUGAGAGAAGAGAAAAAUACGGAAUCAGCGCUGGCAUUGGAUUUGAGUGUAGUUGAAUCUUACCUUUGCUUCUUCACUCUUGUUUUCAGAUAAAUUCGGAAGAGUAUAAGAGAGAGAAAGAAAAAACUGUUAUCUUCACAGAAAUUUAGAGGAGCAGAAGAAAGAGAAAGAAAAAGUUAACUCCUUUAGUGGAUAUUUAACGACAGGGACUGAUUUGAAACAUUUUUUAUAACUUAAGAAUCAAAAGUUAACAUUUUUAAAAGAAGAGACUAAACUGAACAUAAUUAAAUUCAUUUUAAAAAUUAAAUUGUUUGAUAAUAUUUAAUACAUAAUUUAUACAUUAAUCCAUAUAUUACAUUAACUUACAGUACAGCAGUCAAGUUUCUAUAAACAAUGUCCAUGGAAUAACAAACAAGUUUCUAUACCCAACGGCCUUUCCCCCCUGUGAACAUGUAGUUACCUUUGUACUUGCUAACGAAUUCUUUUUUUGGCCUAGACCAUGCAGCAAACUCAUAGUCAACAGCAAAGCUCACUGACCCCUUCUCCUGCAUUCCCAAAAACAGCCCAAUAACCGGCUACAGUAUCUCAUGCACGAAGCAACUUCAAAUUUGUCCGCAGCCAUCAACACGUCCAGCAAAGCAGGUGCUGUAGUAGUGGUCAAGGUACAUAACGUUCAGCAGCUCCAUGAGAACAGCUUCUUCUGCAACAUAAAAAGAAGUAUGGCAUUUCUAAUGUAACUAUUUGAGGGAAAAGAGGCAAAACUGUGCAAAGAAUCUACAAAGUACAUUCCUACAUUCCUACCUGAGGCAUUAAUUUUAAGGGAGACAUGUCUCUGAUCAGACUCCCUCAUCCCAUUUGAGAAAAGCUGCAUAAGUAAAUACAUACUAGUAAGCAAAUAUAUUUUUGGAAAAAAAGAAUCAAAUGUACCCUGUAAAGAAGAAAGAUCUUCCUCAACCUUAUAAAAGAAAGGACUUUUAUCAAACAAGAUAGGAGAACUUAUGUGAAGCGUUUUAACUCUAACAAUGGUCCAUGCUGUAGUCCGAAUCAUGACUAUUUGUAGCUUUUCAUCACCUGAAUUAACCACACCACUCGAGUAUUCACAGAGCAGAAAUGAUAACUUCAUACUAAAAGGGAAGGAACCAAAAGAUAUCCAUAAAGAUAUCAAUGUCCAUUCCUUGUUUAAAAACAAAUGAGAGUGUCAUAUUUUCUGAUAACAUAAACUUCUCUAAACAAUCACACUCGUGUAUAAAUCGUACAUUUACGAUUAAAUUAGAGGAUUUCUAAUGCAAUAUAUGUAGAUUCCUAAAGAUAAUUGGGAAACGAGGGCAUGUUUCAUUCCCUUCUCAUUUUUCAGAUUUAAAAACAAUUUUUCCGAAACAACACCUAAUUAGCAAUCUAUUUCUCAUUCAAAUUUUUUUAAAAUGAUUUUGGAAAUAGUUAUUUUAAAAAAUCAAGUCUUAAAUGUUUACUUGGUUCCUGAGUUAAAUAAUUUUGUUCAGUUUAGUAUCUGGUUUUAAAAGUGCAUACAUUAAGUCUCAAAAUUAUAAAAAUUGUAUAGAUCAAGUCCCUUCCGUUAAAUUGGCAAUAACAUAGUUAAUUCUUAGUUGAUGUGGCAAAAUAAUCUGCAUUUUAUCUUCUCUCUCCCAUGCUUUUCCAGCAAUGCCCAUCUUUUUCUCUCUUUUCUAUAUCUUUCGUAUUCUUCUUCAAUCUUCCUUCUUCAAUCUUCAACCUUGAAGCUCAUCGUCAUGUCUUCUCUCCUAGGUAAGCCUCUCACGAUUCAAUCUUUUUAAAGUCAAAUCGAUGAUGUAUGUGGCUCUUUUGGACUCAAAACUCUGAUAGAUGAUUGCAAGGAACAAUUAUUAGAAGUGGAUGCAAAUGCAAAACCUAAAUUCCAGAUAAAAAAUCUCACUAGAGUUUUUGACGGUGGGGUUUCAAUCUUCAAAAGCAUCAACCUUAACAUCCCAAAGGGUGUCAUUGUUGGGAUCAUAGGCCCCGACGAUAGCGGCAAGUCAACCUUCUUAAGAGCCUUGAACCGCCUUUGGGUAUGGUUGUAGUUUCUUCCAACAACUUAGAUAACUCCACCUUCUUCAUCGAUUCAGAUUCCCUCAUCCGAAGUUCAUCAUUUUCUUCAAACAUACUUUACAACUCGUUUUCUUUAUCCAAUAAAUUCUCCUUCAGUUUCAUGUUCUUAGCUAUUGCUUCCUUAAGAGCUUCCUGCAGUUGAAUUGCCUCAGCCUCAACUUCCUUAAUAUUUUCCUUCAACUAGGCUUCUUCCUCCCUGUUUAUAUUAGCUUCUUCCUCGGUUUCUUUAAGCAAAUAAAGCAAUCUUUUUAUUUCUUUUUUCCAGAGAUACCUUCUUUUCUUCAUUUUUCUUUAUGCAGCUUACAAGAUGAUGCUCUCUCUCUGCUCCUACUCAACCUUGGAGUUCUCAAAGACACUCUUUGAAUUUUCAAUGCUACAUACAAGAAAAUGGAUCUCAUGUCAUGCCUCAUCAAGCAUGGACUCAUUUUUUAUUGGUGGCUUUUAAUACUAACUUCAAAUCUUCAAUCUGAGCCUCACAGCUUUCACGUUCAGCUUGGAUGUUUAGUAGAUUUUCCUUGGCUUCUCUGGCUUCUGUAGAUAUUUCAUGUAAUGCAGAAGCUAAGCUUUCCAUUGCCUUUUUACUCUUUUCUUCUUCAUCCUUAGAAUUUUCCAAUUCACUGAUAAGUUUGUUUUUCUCUUGUAAUAAUGUUGGAGGGUAUCUAUUCUACAGGCAUAGUUGCUGACAAUGUGAGGUAUGGACCACAACUUAGAGGGAAAAAGCUAAUUGAUGAUGAGGUGCGCAAGUUGCUGGCAAUGGCAGACUUCGAUGCUUCUUUCAUGGAUAAGUCCGGGGAUGAACUCUUUGUGGGUCAAGCACAAAGGGUUGCACUUGCUAGGAUUUUGGCUAAUUCAUCGGAGGUAACAUAAAACUAUUUUUUUUUGUCUCUUAACUUUAUUUUUUGUCUCCAUUUUUACUUGUGAUGUUCGUUUUAUUUGGUAUUUUUGAAUUGAAGAUUUUGUUGUUAGAUGAGCCACGAUGAAUGUACUUCCUGAUUAUUAACAGUGGACUGGAAAGGAAAUAAGAGAAUUUGAGGAAGUGGAGGAUAGGUUUGGUGAAAAAAAGAAGAGAAAAAAAAACUAUUUUGUAAAGAUAUAGGAAAGAGAGAAAAAAGCAAGGACAUGGUAGGAAAAAAAACAGAGAAGAGAGAAGAAAUAUGGUAGAAGUUUUUGCCACAAUAGUUGGGAGUUAAUACCAUUGUUGUCAAUUUAACGGAAGAGACUUGAUUUAUAUAAUUUUCACAAUUUUAGGAUAUAACAGAAGGGACAUGAUUUAUAUAAUUUUUACAACUUUAGGAUCUAACUGUAUGCACUUUUAAAAUCAUGUACUAAAGUGAAAAAAAAAACCACUUAACUUAGGAACCAAGUAAACAUUUAAACCAAAAAUCAAUAUACAAAAGCAUAUAUUCUCAUCUUCUCUUUUGAUCUUGUUUGAGCUCUACCUCAAUUCCACACUCUACUCUCGCCUUACACCUUCCACUCUACCAACUGUCUGGACAAAAUGCAAUUCAAGUUUCACUGGUAUUCAUACAACAUGCAAUUCAAGUUUUACAAGAAAAAAUUAAAUAAUAAAUUUAGAUCUCUUAGAAUAAAUUUAGAUCACCUAAGAGAGACCACCUGGAAGAAACCCUACUCCCAUGAAGCCCUAGCAAUGUGUGACUAGUACUCUUCUCUCACAGUCUUGUUACUGUCCUCUAAACGGCUGAGAUAAAUGACCGAAAGCUCGCAUUCCUCAGCACCCACCAGGAUACAACAUGGAGACGUGCCAUCGACGACGUGAAGCUUCAAGACGUGUAGAGUUUCGAGAUGUUUUGUGUGGUCUGGGACGAGAGAAAGAAAUGUUGUGCGAGAUUGGAAGAAAUGAAAUGAGAAGGGUUUUGCACUUAUUAUAAUAAGUAUUUUAAUAUGUAUCAUAAUAUGUUUUUCCAUAAUUUUCAUUUUGUCAUCAUAUUCAACUUAUUAUUAUGACAGGUGACUUGUACCUGUCAUAAUACUUAUAUUUUUUAUUACGAAAAUAUUACUAUUAUAAAUUUCUUAAAAUAUGUCAUAAUACAUGUUAAUUUUAUUAAAAAUUAUUAUGAUAACUAGAUUUCAUCAAUAGAAUCCUCUUUUUUACUUUUUUUUUUCUACUAGUGAGUAAUUACAUUAAAAUAACUCAGUACAACUUCGUCCUUAUCCAAUUAUUGUACUUGCAUAACAUGUGAUAUAAUAUUUUACCUACACUCAGCACGUCGAUCUACAAAGUCUAUUCGAAUUUUUUUUAAUUCUUUUAUAAUAAAUGAUUUUGAAUUAAUCUUAUUCGAAUAACCUUAAAGAAUAAAAAGUAUAAAAAAAAGUUGACAAUAAUGUCAUGAACCUUAAUUUUAUAUAUCUUUUAUGUAAAACCAACACUGAAAAUGCGGAUUUUCAGAGAAUAUUUUUAUUGGUAAAAGAAAAAUUUGAUUUUCGGAUAAAAAACUCUUUUCAAAAUUCUACGAUGUCAUAUUUUACAACAUUAUGGAUCAAACUACCAAUAAUUGCUUUCUUUAUUUAAAAAUUACAUUCUCUCUUUCUCGAUAUAUAUUGUUUGCCAAUUCUUUACAUUUCUCCACCUAUAACAUUUAAAAUAUCUUUACACAAACUUCAAUUUUUAUUGAAAAUCGAGUUAUUUUAAAAGUAUAUUUCAUAAAUUUAAUAAAUUAACUAUUAUUCAGUUAUUAAAUUAAGAAAAAAAAUUAAAAUAAUUUACCCACAUGUUAUGAAUGUGUUGUCAGUCUCUUUCACAAAGUCAUUGUCCUGUCUUACUAUAAACCUUUGUUGCUAUGUCCAUUCUUAACAUGAUAUUACAUUUCUUGCUGCCACACAUGUUUCUAUUCUUUGUAUUUUUCCUUUUUCCUGUCUCUAUGGUCAAAAUUGAGAUCUGCAUACCUAAACCAUAUUAUCUUAUGAUUUUUAAAGUAGAAACAGGUGGUGCUAUAGCAGCAUCUUUGGUUCUAUAUAAAGAACCAAAAUCAAUCCAGCACAACAUCUCCAACAACAUCUUCCAAAUCGAUCAACCAUGAAGCCAACCCUAGUUCUUGCUCUCUCUUUCCUCCUUCCCUUCUUCACCAACCUUCCCUUAGCUUUCUCAGAUGAUGUUCAACAAGUUGUGGACAUAUAUGGGGACCCCAUUUUACCAGAUUUCACAUACUACAUCGUCCCAGCAAUCAGUGGUCCACCUGGUGGUGGAUUGAAACUUGCCAAAACUGGAAACUCAAAGUGCCCUCUUACUAUCCUGCAAGAUUACUCUGAAGCCUUCCGUGGCCUCCCUGUUCAAUUCACCGGAGACAGUCACUUAUUCAUCUUUACAGGUACUCAUCAGUAUUUUAUCAAUUUAAUUGUAAUGUAUUAUUGAAAAUUUCAAAAAUUGACUGAAAAUAAGACCAAUUUAUAAUAUAUAAACGAAUACAGAUGUCAAACUGAGUUUGUGAAGUUGAAUUAAACUUAAAAUUUACCUGAUAUCAUAAAUAUGAUUAUAAUUAUAACCAAUUUAUAUAAAAUAAAACUAAUUUAUAAUAUAUAAGUAGGUACAGAUCUCAUCUUACAAAUCUAUUUUAUAGAACUGAUUUAGAUUUAAAAUCCACUCUUUAACCAAUUUCAUAUAAAUCAUCUUCUGUUAAUAAUUUCAAGUUUUGGAAACAUCCUAUAGGUACCGAAGUGGACAUCAAUUUCGUACAGAAGCCAUUGUGUGCAGAAUCCUCCAAUUGGUCGGUGUUCGUGGACGAAUCAAUCCAGAAGGCAUGUGUGGGAAUUGGUGGUGCCGAAGGUCAUCCUGGACAACAAACUUUUAGUGGCAAAUUUCACAUUCAGAAAUAUCAAAUUGGAUACAAGCUUGUGUUCUGCAUCUUUGACUCACCAACAUGCUUCGAUAUUGGAAGAUUUGAUGCACAGAACGGUGAGGGAGGAAGACGCUUGAAUCUCACUGAGCAUGAAGCAUUCGAUAUUGUGUUCGUACCAGCUUUUGAAGCUGAUAAGGUUAUUAAGUCCGUAGCUUGAAUCAAAUAUCUCUAGUUAAUCAGAUUUUAGUUAAUGCAAUCAUAUGUUGUUUUGAUUUGCAUUAGCUAAGAGAAUCUAGUCCAAAGAUUGAAUAAGAUAGUAAAUUUCUAACUUUCUUGCGUGAUAUCUUUCUCUCUUUCAUCUCUUUCAAACUUCAAUGAAAGACAUUAGAAAAAUUUAGGUUUAGUAUUCUGAGAUGCCCACACAAGCCCACGUGGUUCUGCCAUGCACAACUUUAAAUACUAAACAUCAUAUAUUAUAUACAAUAAAAUAUUAGUCCUCGUCACCCUCGAGCUAUAGUAAAAAAAGUAUGUUCAUUAAGCAAUAAUUUUAUUUAUUUUAUUUGUUGACUGUUUGAAAGUGCUGUGCCCUUACUGAUUCCAAUUCUAUCUUUAAUUAGUUUGAUUAUUUUAUACAUUGGUCAUAUAUUUUUUAUUAUUUACAUUGUUACUUAAUGGAAACUGACUCUCAAAUUUAAAACGAUAGGUUAUCAAAAAUCAAAAUGUGAAAGAGUGUGUGAGUUCUAUUUUAAUUGAUAAUAUGUAUGACAGAAUUUCUCUUCAAGAACUUUUGGGAAGGAAAAAAGUGAAAUUAGUAUCUCAAUAAAUUAAAACUAAUUUAUUAAUAAAUUAAUCUAUUGACAUUAUUUUACGUAGCUUCUUAAAAGAGUUAUUUUUAACUUACGUAUAAUGCCAUUUUAGUUUAUGAAAAACUUUAUGUAUUUUUACUUUUACAUCUUAAAAGUUGUUAAGGAGAAACUCAUAUUACUUUAAAGACUACUAUUACAUAUUUAGGCAGAGUAUACGAUUUACACAUGGUAGGGAUUAUCAACCAAAAACAUUACCUACUCACGGUUAUACCUACAAAAAUCAAAGCAAGUUUUCUUUUUUUUAAUCAACAAAGAAUAAAUAUAAUUAUAUUGGAUCACUUGGUUGCUCUAUCCCAUUUACAUAAUAUAUACAUAAAUUAUUUUUUUCUACAUUAGUCAUAACGUUCAUUUGAAAAAUUUUCUAAUAUAAGAAACUUUUUUUAUACUAAUUAAAGAAUCAAUAUAUAAAAAUAAACGAUAUAAAAAAGUUUUAACUUUUCUAUGAUGAUUCAUAAUUGGCAUAGGAAGUUUCUCUUUUUCAUAUUGAUUAAUAUCACAAUCAAUAUAAUAAUAUGAUGUUUUCUUUUUCUUUUCCUCACCUAUGAACACAACAUAUUUAGACACAUCAACCAUGAAUCCAAAGCAAAAUCAAAAACUAAAAAAAUAAUUAUUCACUAAUUAAACACCCCACCAAUUGCAUCCGUUGUCAUCGUCAACGUCUGGCACUUCUUUAGAGCCUUUGAAUACAUAAUCACCACUUCUUCCCCUAAGCAUUCUUUCCAAACAAAAACAACCAAGGUGCAAGAACUUCAAAGAACCUCUAAGUCGUCGCUCCGUGCUUAUAAUUGUGGUCGUCAACGUUUCGCUGACAUAACCUUCUUCUCUCUUGAGGGUUUCUCCAAAUCUCCCAAGCUUUUAUCUCCUCAUGCUUUGUUGCCAAUACAUUGUGAUGCUUACAACUAGAGGUGUGGCAUCGCUUCGUCACCAUCAUCAAAGUUGUUUGUUGGUGCUGGCGCAACCUCUCUACUCCUUCCACUUCAUAUAAGUGUCUUCCUUCUCGACGAAAUUUUUCAUCGAUAAAUCUGUCGAUAAUACAUACUAAAUUUAUCGACGAAAAAAAUCUAUCGGUAAUACAUAUUAAAUUUACUAACGGAAAGGUUCGUCGGUAAAUCCAUAAGAAAAUACAUAUUAAAUUUAUCAAAGGAAAAAUAUGUCGGUAAAUCCGUUGGUAAUACAUAUUUAAUUUACCGACAGAAAGUCCAUCGAUAAAUCCGUCGAUAAAAAAACGACAAAUUUGCCGCCCACUCUUUAUCUCUUUUCGUGAACUACACAUUACUUUUUCUCUCUAUUUCUUUCCAGACCCAUUUCUUAUCUCGUUUCACAUCCUCAAACACCACUUUUCUUUUAUUUUCAAAACCCUCUUCAUCUUCUUUUCUCUUCCGUGAGGGUAGUCCGUCAUCUCUCCUAUUUUUUCCAUCUAAGCUUAGAUUACCGCAACUCCAAGCCCAUUUGAUGUGCCUCCAUAUUUGUUUAGCCAAACCACCAUCUAUGUUGUCAAGCUUGCAUUAAUGGAAAAUAAGUAUUCCUUCCUACACCUCACCUAUGUCAUCCUACACCUCCCAAUACCCUUUUUGCCCUUCAUUUAUUAAAUUUGAAAAAAUUUAAAUGACAUUCUGACCAAUCUUCUGUACUUUUGUUAUGAAUGAGAGAGAAGAUGAAAAAUGGUUCUUCAUUAACUUUUGACAGUGUUCACUCACUAUUUAGCUCACUUCUAGACUCUAAGCCAUAAUCUGGCUUCUCCACCUACACCCAUCACCAGCUGCACCCUUUUUUGACACUUCCAAGAUGUACCGUUCUUUAUUAUGAACCCACAAAACUCUUUGGUGGCUUAUAAAACCUACAUUAUGGAUAGAUAUUUGAAAAUGAGGAAGUUGUUGUUGUGGUCACUAUUGAUGGCGAGGUUCUGUCACACAUGAGCAUCCAACUCCAACUACGGUGAGCGUCAAUCGCAGAUCCAAGUGGGGCGAGCAUUAACCGCAGAUCCAAGUGCGGCGAGCAUCAACCGCAGAUUCAAGUACGGAGAACAUCAAUCGCAGAUCCAAGUACGGCGAGCGCCAACCGCACUUUCAAGUGCACUUUCAAGUGCGGCUACCAUGAACCGCAUCUUAACCUCACUUCUAGGUGUGGUAAGGUCUUCAAUCGCAUAACCACCGCUACAAGAGCUUACCCCACCACACAUCCACCAAAAAUAAGUCUGUGAGAAUGAAAAGCGAAACUGCAACAAAUAAAACGAGGGAAAGAGGGAGAGAAACACUCUGCAAAAAGAGGGAAGGAGGGGGAGAAACACUCUUAAAAAGAAAAAGAGAAGAAAGAAAGGGGUGUAGGAAAAUAUGAAAUGUGACAAAGAGAGAAAGAACAAAGUGCCUCAUGAGUGGGUCAAAUAAAAAAAAUAUUUAAAAAUGUUAUCUGAUAAGGAGACAAUUAAAAAUAUAAAAAAAAUAAAGAACUGGAGAAUGAGAUUAGUAAGAUGUAGAGAGAAUCACUCAUGAAAAAUAGGAAAAGAACAUGGAUUAUACGUCUCGGUUUCAUAAAACCGAAAUACACGUCGGUUUUAUAAGCAUAAACUUCAUUCUACCUCGGUAAGAUUCCAACUCGAAACGUAAUCUUUGGUCAUUUCCCCCUCAAACAAUCAAAUCAACUAAAAACCUCUACAACACUGGUUCCCAGCAGAACCGAGGCAGUAGACUGCCUACGACACCGGUUUGUGCAGACGCGAGACAGUACUGUCAUUCAGACUGUUGAAGCCUUCUAACGUUGGAGUGGACUACUUUUAUACUUCGGUUACCAUUAGGACCGAGAGAUAAAGUGCGAGUAUUGGCACCGGUCAUUAGAAAACCCGAGGCAAUAGGUAUUUGUCAAGUUUUAGACUUCAUUUUCACUUAGGACCGAAGCGUAAAGCUUGAAUAUAGACUGAAAUUGAAAGUAUGACUGAGGGUUCUUAUUCUUGCUUCUUUUGCUUAACUGUGUGUAAGUACUUUUUAGAUUGAUUACGAAUAAUUUUUCUGUGGUUUAUUGGGAGAACUCUGGUUGCUUAGAUUCUGUUGUGAGUUAUUUUUCUUGUUUUGCUUUCCUUUGUUUUCCAUGAGUUUCAGAUUUCCUAUUUCUACUCUUCCUUCUAGCUAAAACACGUCUAAGCUUUCUAUCUGCCUACUCUAAUUUUUCAAUAAGCAUGAGAAGAGUAAACGUGGUAAUUUUUAAAAGUUUCAUACCUGAGUAAACAACUUAAAGAAUUAUCAGAAUUUUUUUGGAUUUAAAUACUUAAAUGAAAUAAAGAGAGACAAAAGAUUAAAAAAAAAUACUGAUAUAAUUUAUUUGUUUAUAUAUUUUUUUGUUGAUUAAAAGACAAGAGGCUGUCUUUAGUUAUUGUGCUUUCUGCAACCUAAAAUAAUUGUACUUUCUGCAACCUCUUUAAGAUCUUUGCAGAGCAGAAAUUUAUUAUGCUUUCUGCAUCUCAUCUAACUUCUCUUCUCUUUAUGCCUAUUUUAUUUUCAUCAAAGAAAGAUUUCAGCAUUAUUAAUUCAUCUUUUUUUCGCAAACGGAUAAAUUAGAUAUUAAAAUUAAAUAACUACUCUAUUUGUGAACUGCUGAAUAAGUAUUUCAAAAACCAAGUGAUCUAUUGUCCAUGGAUAAAUCUAUCUAACACAGCCAUUUACAUAAUGCUAUAUUUCUUGAAAAAGAUAAUAAUUAAUGCUUACACGUGCUUUUUGUUCUAAUUCUGCGGCAUUGAAGAUUUUUUUAAAGAUCUAUGGAAAAAAUCAAUUAACUACACACAUUAUAUUAUAAUAUGUAUGUAUGUAUGAGAUAAGCGACAAGACACUUAUCAAGUUCCUCCAAAAUUGACUUUAGUAUUCUCCAUAUUUAUAUAAGAGCAAAGUAUUAUUCUCCAUGAAGGUUAUGUAUCAUAAAAACAAUAAGAAAAAUAAAGAUGACUUAUAUAAUUAUAAUAACAUUUUUAAACAUUUAUUACUUUUAGUGAUAAAAAAUAAUUAGUCAUUAUAAUGUCCUAAUUAUACCCAUUUCACCAAUUGUAGAAAUUACUUAGUUUAUGAGUAAAAAUAAAAUUAGUUUUGUUGCAAUGCGUUAUUUGUUUUUGUCAAGAUAUUGUUGAUUGGUUUUCACGUUCUCGGAUAAGUCCUUGAAUAUAUUAUUUGUUUGAAUAUAUUGUAUGUUGCAUAUGAAAUUAUUUGAUUAUUUGAAUAUAUUGUUUGCUUACUUUGUUGUAUUUUAUAUAUGUAAUUAUUUGUUUGCUUCAAUAUAUAUUGUCGUUGUAAAAUAGUCUUUGUUUUCCGUUUGAGAUUCAAUACAAAAAUUAUUUACUAUCUCCAGAUUUUUUGAACAAAUGUACUUUUUACAAAUGAACAGAGAGAUAGUAAUAAUAAUUUACAAGUAUUGAAUCUUGAAUUGUCCGGUUGGACAGUUUAAGAAGAGUAAUAACUUUUGCAUAGUUUAUUAAUACAUAUAAAUUUUAAUACAUAUAAAUUCUAAGUUGUUUUAUGAUUUUGUACAUCAUUAGUAGUUUAACUUUGUACAUUAGAUUGAUUUAUCAUUACAUUAUAUUGAUUUAUGCUUCCAAGAAGUUGAUUUUUGAUUACAUUAAAUGUAUGUGUAUUUUAAUAUAAUUUUCAUUCAAAAUAUUCUGGAUUAUUUUGGACUAUUCUGACUGUAAAAUUAUAUGCAGGCUUGUUUCUGCAGUUGAGAAUGUUGCAGAAACAUACCUGUUCUUAAAAAAAAAAACAGGAGAAUAUGCACUGGUUCAUGCUACAACCGAGGUAAAAAGUAAACCUAUGGCACCGGUUCAUGCGACAACCGAGGCAGAAAGUAACCCUAUGGCACUGGUUCAGUACUAAACCGAUUAACCGAGGCAUAAAGUCCAACAAAAAAGAAUAUUUAAAAAAAUAAAAUAUGUUACUACUUCGGUUAGUUUUGAACCGAGGCAAAAUCCUGCUAUUUUAUGCCUCGGUUCGGAACCGAGGCAUAAAGUCUACCACUUUUUACCUCGCCGAAUAUGCCUCGAUUCAGGAACCGGUGCCUAUUAGCAAAAAUAACCGAUUUCUUUUCCCCUGACUGCACUAGUGUUGGGAUCUUUUGCUUCAUCUUCUUCUUCUCUAACUCGUACAAGGGAAGGAUCGUGGUUCAAUUCUUCCUCUUUCAUGCAAGGUCACAUCCAAGCCAGGUGCAUUAUCGUCGUGCCACGCACUGGCACCAACGUGCAUCAUCGUUGGACAAUGAUGGAUUUGAAGCCAACAAAAUCUUUUUAUUCUCUUUUCUCUCUUUUUUAUUUGUAUUUGUGGUGAAAUAAUUUGCUAGGUUGGCUAUAAUUUUUUGUAGGUUAUGAAAUUGUGUGAAUUUGUAUGAAAUUGUUGAAAUAAUAGUUGGGUGAUAAUAAAAUUGGGUAACAAACCAAAGCGGGAUAGUGAAUAAAAGCAUACCGAUGAAAUUUUAUGCAUAAAAUUGUAUCAACUUAUGUAAUAUUUGAUUAUAAUGUGUCCAUAAGGUUUUGUAAUACCUACACCUGUGGUGCAACAGGUUUUGUAAUGCCUACACAUGAAGGUAUAAAGGUCAUAGCUUGUAGCACACUCUUUGUAAUACCUACACUUGUGGUGCAUCAGGUUUUGUCUUUUUGUAAAUUCUUUAUGUAUUGGUGUUACUUUUGUUGGUUAGGCAAGGCUUCUAAAGGAAGUGUGUGUAGCCUCUUAUUUAAGAAUGUGUUUUGUUGUGAUUGAGAGAGUGAGAGUAUAUUAAGUGAGUCUUGUAUUCUAUAAAUCUUGACAUUUGAUUUUAGUGAAUUUUCUUCAACUCAAGUUGUUGAAAAAAAAUUCGAUGUAAAUUUUUUAAAAGUUAAAUCGAUAUAAAUCUUCUGUUGUUUUCUUUCACUAAUCUUGUUAAUCUUUGAAGUGUUAAAAAAUUGAUUACACCAAUUUUUUUUUUUAAAGAAAGUUAAAAGGAAUUUUCAAAUCAAUUCACUACCUCUUAGUUUUUUAAUAUAUUUUUUCAAAAAAUUUGAAAAAUUAAUCUAUUAAUUUAUAAAGAAAGUAAAAAAUUAACAAAAGUAGUAAAUGAUACUAUAUUGUAUAUCAUAUGGGUAUUUAUAUGGGUAUAUUGUAUAUAGUAAAUCAUACUAUAUUGUAUAUUUUAUGGCUAUUAUAAAAAUUAUAUCAAAAUUACCUGGUCGAGUUCGUCCUUAUCUAAUUAUUGUACUUUCAUUUAUGUAAUAUCUUAUACCUACUCGGCACGAGGCAUAAGUUGAUUUUCCUUUUUUUUAUAUUUUUAUAUAAUAAUUGAACUUUAAUUAAUUUGACAUAAAUAUAAUUAAACACUAGUAAAAAAACACUUUUUUAACGUGCUAUAUGCGCUUUACAUUUCUACGAAACCGAAGUAUAUAAAAAUGCGUAAAUAUGAUGAAAUUAUAUGUCUUGGUUCAUUGGAAUACUUCCACUAAAUUUAUUCCUCUGAAGUCAUUAAACUUAUGUUUAGUGAGCAUCCCAUAUUUUAGUUCCAGACGAAAUAAGUUUCCUCAUACGAAAGAGUUUCAAUGGUUGAAUUUUAAUUAUAGGACAUUUUUAGCUCAAAAGAAAAUAUUAUAGCUUAAGCGAAAAUAUCUAGCUCAAACGAAAAUUGUUUAGCUUAAGCGAAAAUGUCAACAAAACUUGUGUUUUGGUUUUCUGCAAAUCUCGCUCAGGCGAGAGAGUUUAACCUAAGCGAAAAUAAUGCAGUUAACACCAUUAAUUUAUAUUUAACGGGGAGAUGACUUGAUUAACACAAAUAUUUUCUAUAUGGAGACGAAAUUGACAUUUUUCUAAAAGAGAGACAAAUUUGACACACUUCAACCAAAUUGAGGACAAAAGAAAUAAUUAAACCUUAAUUAAAAAAACGUGGUGCUAUACAUACAUCAUAUUGAACAAAAACAUUAAAAUAGUAUAAAAAAUAAGGUCAGAUACGAUUUUACAAAUAAAAUAUGGUAUUAAUUUAACACAUUUUAAUUUGUUAAAAUAAAAUUGUGUAAGUUAACACAAAUUUAAUUAAAAUUUAAAAAAAAAUUACAAUACACUUUCGGUUCAUAUAAUAAUAAAUUAAAAUUAUAUUAAACUAACACAAUUUAAUUAAAACUAAAACAAAAGUUAUAAUAUAUCUUAAUCUAAUACAAUUCUAUUUAAUUGACAUUAAUAUUAAAAAAAUUACAUUACAACACGACUUCUCUCCUUCUCAUAGAAAGUGACAUAAUUUGAUAUUUCUGUAAUUAUUUUAAAACUUGUAGCUAGUAAUAUCAAAGCGGGUCACCUAGUUUCGGCUUGGUUUAGUCCAUUACAGGUUGGUAAUUUUGUGAGUCAACUUAGGGUGUUUCUUCCUAUAUCUCCCCAAAUGGGACUUGUACCUCCCUAUUAAUUUAAUUUAUUUCAAAAAUAUUUUACACCUCCCUAUUAUUUUCUUUUAUUCCAAAAAUACCCUAUACCUCCUCACUAUCCUUAACAAUCUUUCUCUUUCUCUCUCUACAUUAAUGGAGCAUUUACAUGGCUUAUUAAUGGAGCAUUUACAUUACUUAAAUUUGAAGUUAGAUAUAUUUUCUUAAAUAAGUUUGAUUCAAUCUUAUUUUCGUUGUUGAAUAUAUUUUUUUCUUUUUAAAUUACUUAAUAAAUAGUAAAAUUUUGUUCUAAAUUUUUAGAAAAAUGUUUAUAUACAUGUAUCUUUUUUUUUACAUAUAAUAUCUAUAAUUUUUAACAUUAUANUAUGUUUUAACUCACCGACAUGUUUGACUCAAAUACUUGAAUAAAAUAUUUAAUUUAUUAGAUAAAUAAUAUAAAAAUAUUAUUAAAUACUUAAAAUAUAAAAAAAAGUUAUUUGUUAAAGGUUUAGAAUUUAUUUAGUUCUUUCGUCAUUAUAAAGUUAGUAUAUAAUAAUAAUAAUAAUAAUAAUAAUAAUAAUAUAUCAUUAUUUACUAUUAAUAUUAUUAUGUUUAUUAUUUUGUAUUUGCGUCUAACUUUUAAUUUUAUAAAAUGGAAAUGGUAGAAGUACUACUAUUCAAGUUUCCUCUGAAUUUUAUAUUUUGUAGUAUGUUACAAAUUCAAAUCUGAACCACGUGAAUGGUCCAUUAAUGUAGAGAGAGAAAGAGAAAGAUUGUUAAGGAUAGUGGGAAGGUGUAGGGUAUUUUUGAAAUAAAGAAAAUAAUGGGGAGAUGUAGAAUAUAUUUGAAAUAAAUUAAAUUAAUGGGGAGGUACAGGUCCCACUUGGGGAGGUGUAGGGAGCAACACCCGUCAACUUAACCUGACUCAUUUAUUAGCGAGCUCGAGCCACCAUAGGCUAGUGAGGUAAACGGAUUGACUUAUUAACUCACUUAAUUAUAAUUUUUUAAGUAUAAAAAAAAUUACAAACUAUUUGUAAUUCAAAUCUAAAUAAAUUUCAUUUCCAAAACGAGGUUAAACUCAAGACAAUUCAAAAUAAUAAAAAAAAUACAAUACAAUCCAAUAUAAUGAUCCGAAUAGUAUUUUUUAGGAUUUUAUAAGAAAAUAAAUUAAUAAAAAUAAAAUUAGAUUGGUUGGCUCACAACCCGGCUCAUCACAGGUUCAACCCAAAUGAAUUGAGUUUAAAAAAUACAUUUUUUCCAACCCAACUGAAUCCAAAUCCAUGAUGAACCGGAUUAACUUGCGGGUUAUAACCCAUUUUGAGAGGUCUUAUUUUGAGAAACUUUCUCAAAAUAAGCAAACUUAUGGAAAUUUAAAAUUUUGACAACUGCUAUAAAAGCUCCUCAACAUGUGAGAGAAAUAACAAAAAGACCUUUUCCAACAUCGUUACACAAAUCAAAUGAUCCCAUUGUACUCUNUAAUGGGCCAAAUCCAUAGGAAGUCCAUNAAGGGUGAGAGAAGAAGACCCUUGAACAAUGCAAAAUCACACACUAUUUACAACAUACCACUAUCAGUAAAUGUCAAAUAGGUCCCAACAAAAACUUUAAGCCUACUACUCUUUUCGGAUCCACAUAAAAACUUUAUAUAUAGUUGGUUACUAGCAUUUCCUAUAAAUCCUUCAUCAGGUAUAUUUAAGGCUACUUUGUUUUUAGUGAGAUCCAUAUGAAAUUGACCCAAGAAUAAUUUGUUAGAAAAAAGUUCACUGCUAGCAUUUCCUAGAAACCCCCCAUCACAUACAUAAACUUGCAUCCCACAAAGCCAUAAAAAAGGAAAUUAUUUACAAACCUUAGGGCUAAUCUAGCAGCCAGCUGUNUGUCUUUCAACCUUANGCAGUAUUGCAUCCAUUAACUUUCCNUCAUCAAUCAGUCUAAUAAGAAAGCACAAAGGACAAUAAGUAACAUGUAAAUUGCUAAGAAACGCAAGAUGCAAUUAUUAAAUGUCUCAACUAUAUAUAAAGAAAAUACAUGAAUAUUCAGAAUAUCGAUACAAACACUGACUGUACAGUUGUGUGUAUCAUGUUUGCAUUGAUUAUACUAAAUUGGUAACAUUCUAGUUUCAGUGUAAUGGAACUUGAAAAAACUACAGUUUGAACAACAAUUUGAACUAUAUAUAAUACCAUUCUACAACCUUUCAUAUGGUUGCUCAUUAUCCCAAUCAAAGGAAAGGAAAAUUGUCGUGUCAAGUUGAAAGCCUUCAAAUUUUGUGGAAAAGCCAAUUAGGCUCUACUUUAGCAGAGCAUCUAGUGCAAAUGCAUUGUUAAGUGAGAAGGAGAGUAUUCGACUCUAAAUUAAUUACUUGGAAAACCUACGGUACCAUGUCAAACAAUCGCAUACCUUCAAAACUAAAACAACUAGUCAAGGAAAACGAAAGUGUGUGUUUUGUAUNUGUGUAUACAAUUCAAUUAAAAUAACAAAAGCUUUCAUGGGCAAUAUAGUUGACUUCGGCCCCUAAAAUCAAUUAGUUUGGGAUCCAAAUUGAAAACAAUGUAGCUUUGCCAAAAGAUUUUACUUUUCAGAACAAGUGGAAAGGAUGUUGUAAUGAAUCAUUAGUUUGGGAUCCAAAUUGAAAUCUUGUCUAGUGAAUAACUAUAAUCUUGGCCAGUUGAAAUAUGCAUAAUGCUCUAUGCCAGUUGCUGCCGGUUUCACUCCACCCCAAUAGCUAGCUACUGCAUGUUAUACAUAAACAUUUCUGUUAAUAAACAGAGGAACCAAUUAAGAAUUUAGAAACUUGAUUAGGUAAGGUACUUGAACCAUAAUGAAAAGUCGUAAAGGAUCCAUGAUCAUACUUCACAUCUUUCUAAACUGCAACACCGUGCCUCAAUCGAAAUCUAGUAACAAGGCAACAACGUCUUGCAAACCACACCACAGAGUGUUAUGUUCCAAUGAAAGAAAGAAAAAAGGGAUUAUGGCUUUCCGAUUUUAGAAAUUUAGGGUUCUAGGGAUUAGUAGUAAUAUCAACGAACAAAGUGAUUACUUACCAGAUGAACAAACUCUGUGAGUGUCAUCUUCAUCGCGAGAAGAAUGAGAGCGUCACCGAGACCCACAAACUUUAUGAGUGAACGCGACACAAUGGUGAAUGAGACAAGAGUGAGGUGAGACGACAGUGAGUGAAGGAACAAGAUUAGGGGGUGAGGUGAAAGUCGGCGACAAUGAACGAGGGCACAGGACUAGGGUUCAUGAGCUGAUGUUCUUCACUUGCGUGUGAGUUGAAGUUCGUGAACUGAGUGAGGGGGAGGAUAGGCAACUGCGAGCGAGAGUCAUGGGAAGUCGUUGCGAUUGUGAGCGAGAGUCAGGAAGUAGGGAGGGUAGUUGCGAGAGUGAGUGAGAGUGAGGAAGGUCAGAGAUUUGACCUUGUUUUGGAGCUCGAAGAGGGUUUUGGUCUUGGCGUUAGCAACGAGCCACUCUUCGAUCUGUCUCUUCUUCUUCUACACUCUCCUUCCAUGCUUUGGCCAAGAACCCUAGAAGAAAGGUUUGCACUUGAGAACCCAUAAAGAUAUUCUGUGUGACUAAGCGAGAGGGAGGGAGUGCGAGUGCAACGCGAGAUUGAAUGAAAAAGAUGACGAAGCUUGAGAGAGAGCGAGACUGAGGGAGGAAGAUGAUGAAAUGAUUCGGUGAGAGUGAGAUGGGUUUGCAAGAGGGAGGGAGCACGAGAGUCUUAGUGAAUUCAGGGAGGGAAAGGAGCGCGAGAGUAAAGGGGGAAACAUAUUUGGGUGAGUGAUAUUUUCCAUUACAUACGAGAUCCAUAUGUACCAUCCGUAUAUAAUAUGUUCAUUACAUAGGGAUUUAAAUUCGUAUGUAAUAAUCUGCAGAUAAAUGAGUAUUUUCUUGUAGUGUCCUCAAAUUUCUUCAUAUACUCCUUCCACGCACACCAUUGAGGCAAUCGCGAUCUCCAGCUCGGGGGCGGACUCCAAAUCCGCUGUCCUCGCUUGCAAGACAAUAGCGAGCCUUGACUUUCAGUGACACCGACUUCUCCUCCGCCCUAACCUAGUGGUCAUUCCCUCUUCACUAUUAGACCCAGAAUAAAGCAUCUUCUUUCUCCCCCACAAUUUCGACAUGACUCUAAUGGGCCUUGACCAUCAACGACGUCAAUGAGAACCGUCGCGCAUUAGCCACUAACCAUUCCUCCUCCGUACGAGCUCACUGCAAGAUCUUCGUCAUUAAAGUCCUCGUCUUCUUGCCGCUCACUGAACUGGUUAAGGAAUUUAAAGGUUUACGUAUAAAGUCGAACGGUAUGAAGUCGAACGGUUUGUAAGGAGGAAUAAGAAGGGAGGAAAGUAGAGGUGAGUCUAAAUUCAGUAGAAGCUGAACAGUAUGUAGUCGAAUGGUAUGCAAGGAUGAAUAAGAAGGGAGGAAAGUAAAGGUGGGUCUAAAUUCAGUAGAAGUUGAAUGGUAUGUAAAGAGGAAUUAGAAGGGAGGAAAGUAGAAGCGGGUCUAAAUUCAGUAGAAGUCGAACAGUAUGUAAAGAGGAAUAAGAAGGGAGGAAAGUAGAGGCGGGUUUAAAUUUAGUAGAAGCCGAACAAUAUGAAGUCGAACGGUACGUAAAGAGGAAUAAGAAGGAAGGAAAGUAGAGGCAACCCUAAAUUCAGUAGAAGUCGAACGGUAUGUAGCCGAACGGUAUAAAGCCAUGGGUAACCAUGUUCAACUAUUAAACAAUAAGUAUAAAUACAAACCUGGGAGGGAUUUUUAAUAAGUAAGCCUCAUCAUUGAGCUCUUUUAUAUUUCUUAUUUCUGAUUCCCAUGUUUGUGGAUGGGUUGUUGUAGUUGCCUUCCACAUCAAAUGCUUGAGAUGUUUUCCAGGGAAUUUUUUUCUAAAAUUUGCGUAUAGGUGUCUAACACAGAAAUGUUGAUCAAGUCCAGGAACCACUUCUUAUGCAGCUUGCAGUAGUCCCUGUUGAAUCAAAUUAUGACAGUGUUGUUAGAAACAUGAUUUCAGUAUGAAUCUUAAUGAACAUAAUGGGGAAAAGGUCAUGUGCAUUACCUUUUGCUGGUCGGACAUGAAUGUAAAUGAUGAACUGACUGCCUCCCCACCAAAAUCUUCAACCAUAAAUUCAAGGAACCAUCUCCAAGUAUCCUUCACUAAUGGAAAAAUGACAUUUAUGACGUACAAAAAUGACCUAUUAUGACGUAGUUUCUAGGGGACAUAGUUUCGAACGUAAUAAUAAGUCUGCCCAUUUUAUGACGUAGCAGAAAUUUACGUCAUAAUAGCUUGAACAUAUUAUGACGUAGUUUUUGAAAUCAGUCAUAAUAUGCGCGAAAGAGACGUAGAUUUGUUGAUACAUUAUAAUAUGUGCUUUUUAGAAACCAGCGUAUUAUGAUGUACAUUGUUUAGUACGUCAUAAUAUAUGUUUUUCUAAAAAAAAUUGAUUAUUACAAUUGACAUCCAAUGAAAUUAUAAUCAUGUUCCUGUAUUAUCAUCUCAUCCAAUCAAUUUAUAAUCAAUAUAAUUUCAAAUGAAUUCAACGGAACUAACAAAAUAGAAUUCAUUUCAAACAUUAAAUUGUCUAAUAAUAUUUAGUACAUCAUUUAUACAUGAAACUAUAUAUUAAAUUCGAAUAUUAUAUCAUACACUAUAGAAUUGUAGCCAAGUUUCUACUAACACUUAUAAUAAAAGAAGCCCGGUUCCUUCUAAUGUCUUCAAUGUCUACCGGAGAUGAAUCAUUAAAGAUCUACAAAUAAAACAAUAGAGUUAAACAAUAUUGUAUUGUAAUGAAUAGUUAGAUACGUAUUUAGUUAGUUUUUUAAUACCUUAUUCCAUGAUUCAGUUUGUACAAAUAAUGGUAUGUAUGUGUUUUAUUACAUAAUAUCCACGCUCAUAGUUGCCCAAUUGACGUCAACACUGCAAAUUAAAUACAAAUAAUCAAGACUCGUUGAAACCAAGGACACAAAAUAUCAUAUUAUACUCUAGCUAACCUUUGCACCAUGUAGCUUUGAUCAAUUUUCCUAAACCAAAUUUCUCAAAACCAACAACACAACCAAUUCCUCAUAAAAAUAGCAAUCACAAAACACAAAAUAAAGGUCAAUUUCUCUUACAUUAGGUGUGAUUAUUUGCAUCUUCUUCCUAGAAAUAGAUGGAACACCCUGCAACCUUCAAUGAGCUUCCAAAGACCUAUACAAAAGAUAGACAUCCAUUACAUCAUCAUCAUCAUCAUCAUAUCAUAAUAAUAAUAAUAAUAAUAAUAAUAAUAAUAAUAAUAAUAAUAAUAAUAAUAAUAAUAAUUAUAAUAAUAAUAUAAGAAGGAAUCAAAAUAGAAAGAAAAACUUAUUCUUCUAAUAUAUUUUUGAUGUAUAAUAUGCUAGCUUUCUUAUGCAAGGAACGGUAAGUUAUGAAAUUUGAAAAAUGAUAUAAUAUUCAAAACAAUCAUAAAAUUUUAUGAGAAUUUAAUUUUCAAAAUAAUUUAAUAAAUAAAUUAUGACUUAAUAUGCAGAAGAUUCUCAUACAGAUUUUAUAAUUUCGGUUUGCAUAUCAUAUUUCGUUUUACCCAAAUAGAAUAUAUUUUGAAGCCUGAGAGAGGGUAUUUUUACUUUAUGAAAUUCUCAAACCUCAAAUCGGAAGGAAAGAAACAUAAGAUGUUCAAAUUACUUUUCGAAUAUUCUUUCUCUCUCUAUAUAUAUUACGUAAAACUAAAUAAGAAUAAUAAUAAGUAAUUCAAUAAAAGAUAAAAUAAUAUAUCAAACAAACAAAUCGAUAAAUUUUAACUUGAUUUUGAUAUUAUAUUAAAAAAUAAAUUUUAAAUUUAUUUCAAUUCUACAGAAUAUAAAUGAGAUUUGAUGCUGUUUAUUUAUUCAUUCUUUCUAGUAUUAAUAAUGAUGGAUGAACUUCCACCAUAAGACAUCACUUAAUAAUAUGUAAUAAUGCACGUACUGGAAUAUAGGCAGUUGUCAGAAUAGGUAUUUAAUAUAGUAGUUGUUAGAAUAGGUAUUUAAUGUAGUUGUAUUGGAAAACUAUGAUAUCUUGUUCCUCUGAGCUGCUGGAACUAUGAUAUUCACCCAUCCACUGAUGUAAAUGAGUGAUGCUCCCUUAAAUUCGUCCAUGAGAAUACUCACAUGGAUCAGACAGAACAUAGUGUUAGUAAAAGUGGUCCAACCAAGACAGAUAAGAAGAAAAUGAAAUGAAAUUGAGAUGAAAUUGAGACAGAUAAGACAUAUGCUGAUUAUUUUUCUUAUCUGAUAUUAAGAUACUUUUGCUGGUUUUGUAUGUUGCUUGUUCUUCAACCAAUUUAGGUUUUUUAAUCUGUAUUUUGAAGAAUGAAAUGCUUAAAGACUAGAAUCAAAUCAUUGUUAUGAGAAAAGAUACUUAAAUUUAAGCAAAGAAUUCAAAGGGAUGUCAGAUAUCUCUAACUAUGCACCAUCCAGAUAAGUCAAUCCCACAGGGAUAUUAAUUCCAUCAUGUCAGAAAGGUUUCAUAACAAUCAGCCAAUAUAUAUAUAGAAACCACAACUUCAUUGUAUAACAAAAAUUAUUACACGGUUUUAUAUUACCUCAAAUUGUAAAAUCACCAAUGUUAUAUGAGAAAAAAAGGAUAUUCACUGCACAGUCAUUGUAAAUAAUGAUAAAAAAAGGAAAUUGCAUAGUGAACAUUUCAUUAUUCAGUGAAUUAAGAUUGAUAUACGUAGUAGUUGAAAGAGUGGGUCAUGCUAACAAGUGCCAUGAGGGUACUGGUUAAAGAGCAUUAAAUACAGCCAAUGAAAUGCUUUUAGUUAUUUAACUGAAUUAUUUAAUAACUUGUGUGUUUUUGGUAUACUAAUACAAACAUGGUUCAGACAUUGUAACAAUCAUGUUAUGAGCAUUGUUUUUGAAGGUAGAAUUACAAACCAACAAUGAAUUUGAUCAAUCAGAUGAUGCACAACACAAUGGAAGUAAGAAAGUUUGAUACCAAAAUAAGAGCAAAUUUAUAUCAUUAGCAUUUUGAAUGAAAUUCUCUCUUUCUAUUUCUUAAAUCUCUUGUUUAAGAAAAUAAGAAACGUGGAUCUGUCAACAAAGUUGAAAAGAGGAAAAACAAUGUCUCGGAACAAUACUAUUUUUCAGAUUUUUUUAAUUAUAUUUUAAUUUAUUAAAGUUACUGAACUAGACAAUAGUAACUUGGUUCAAGUCAAGAUCAAAGCGUAAGUAAUAAUACUAACCUUCCAAAGAACCUAGGUUAGCUCCUACCUUCACUCCUAUGGAGCUUUCUUUGAAGUGGGUCCAGAGAGGGUCCAAUCACUGCUUGACCGAAAUAAACACUGAGGAUACCAAUUUCAAUAAGUGAAAAAUGAAGCAAAAGGAAAAAUAAUCGGUUAAAAGGUGAGAAAAGAUACGAAGAAACCCUAACAGUUGAGGGUGAAAGAUGCUUACUGCUUGAACUGUAGUUCAACGAGAUGAUGAAGAGGCAGCGACAACCCUCAAUGAUGGAGACAGAGAAACGUCGUGAGCCUACGCGAACGAAAAAUGUAUCACGUGAGAGUGAAGAAGAGAGGAGAGGAAGAGAAAUUAGGGAAGAGUGAACGAAAGUGAGACAGUGAGACUGAGCAUGAAAUGAAAAAAAUCUGAGAGAGAUAUGUUAUGACUGAUUUCUAAAACUCGGUCAUAGUAGGUUUUGAAAUUAUUUACAAGUUUGUCACCGCAUUUUUUAUUAUGACUGAUAUCUAUAACUAUGUAAUAAUAUAUUUUAAACUUAUUUGCAAGUUUGUCACCAUGUUUUAUAUUAUAACUGAUGUACAAAAGCACGUCAUAAUAUAUCUAACUUUUAUUACGAUUCUACCACCGAUCAACCUAUUAUAAUGGAUGAUUUUCGUCCGUCAUAAUAGGUCGUCAUAGUAUGUUAUUUUUCCACUAGUGCUUGUUCUCUACUUUCACCACGACCUACACAAGAGGUAACAUUUGGUCAUUUACGUCUCUACUAACAGUAGUUAACAAUUCACUACCAUAUUUUCCUUUCAAAGAGGCACCAUCCAACCCAAUAAUUGGCCUGCAGGACAUAAAACUAUCCUUGCAGGCCUUCAGACAAGUAUAAAAACUUUUUAAAAUGGAUUCACCCUCAUUCUCUUCAACUUUAACUUUCACCAUUAAGCCUAGCUAAGGUAAUCACGUGCAUGGCUCCUAUGUCAUCCAACAAAGGCUCCAACCUAUUUUCUAAUAUAGAACCACCACCUAUGCAGUACCACAACUCCUUAAACCCAUCAUAACCUAGCCCUUUGACUACACUCACUACAAGGAAAUAACUCCACAUGUCUGGUUCAAACGACAAAGUUGUACUCUCCCCCUCAUAGUUAAGUUUUCCUUCAUUUAUGAACUUUCCACCAUGGUGGAAAACAACUUGGAAAUUUUCCUCCAUGACGUACAAAAGAAACUUAUAUUUAACCUAUAAAGUAAGCUGAAAACGACAACAACAAAAAUUAUUAAGAAUAUAUGUAAACCAUAUCCCAUUGAAAAAGACAAUCCAACUACACUUUAAUAUUGGAGGACCACAUUGCAAUAAAAAAAAAACAAAACAGGAUAGACCAUGCAACAUUGUGGGACAACCAUAAAAGUACAAAAUCAUCAAACAAUUCAAUGAAAAGCGCAUUAACUAACCUGAACACGUGAUUCACCUUGAACACUUUCGCCACUGCCUUCCAUGUGAUUCACCCCCAAGAGUUUACUGAUUCCACCAAUUUAGCUCCGCUGGAUCACUCCAAAAUCUUCACAUGAAACCUACUUUGUCACUACCUAUACAAUUUUUCACACCCACUCAACAAUUUGUCACCUCGAUAAAACCCUAUUUUCCCAAAAAUCCCCAAUAUCGCACCCAAUGAACAAUGAAAUGAAAAACCCCUUUCUGCUAAUCAAUUUUCAAUCCCUUAAACGUUGUGUUUUCAUUAUUUAAUGUUUUUUAUUUAAACCUUGCGUUUUCAAUUAUUUCAUUCAAGUUUUUUAAAUAUGUAAAUAAAACAAAUUCAACUCAACACACCAAACUCUGUCACGUCAGUAAAAGUUGAUAAUGUCAUCUUGCCACCCACAACAUUUUUUAACGUCAUCCAUCCAAUUUAACAGCGAGGACUAAGUUGGUUCAAUUUUACAUAAUAAAGGACCUAAUUGAAACUAUUUAGAAUACGAAAACUUAUUUGAGGCAAAGGAUGUUAGAAAUUAUUUAACCUAUAAUAUAUUUUUAUUACUAUACUUUAUUACUUUUAAUCUAAUUCAAAGAAAUAACGAAGAUUCAUUUGUUAAAUUAAAAAUAAAAAAUAAAAAACUGCCGCUCUCAAAAUUAUUAAAACGUUUUACCCAAAUGUUAUAAAUGUUUUGUCAGUCUCUUUAACACCACUGUAUUUUUCGUACCCUCCAAUAACACACCUUUGCUAGGUUGAUUCUUAACAUCCUUAUACAUUUAUUGCUGUCUAUCUUGCCAUUUUUAGCUCUUUCUUCUUCUUUUUUUUCGCCUUUCUCUCCUUAAACUGAACUCUCCAUACCUAACUAUAUCAUAUCUUUUCUUAAUUAAAAAAACGUGGUGCUACAUAGCAUCAUAUCGAACAAAAACAUUAAAAUAGUAUAAAAAAUUAGGUCAGCUUUAUACGAUUUUACAAUUAAAAGAUGGUAAUAAUUUAACACAUUUUAAUUUGUUAAAAUAAAAUUAUGUCAAGAUAAACAAAUUUAAUUAAAAUUUUAAAAAAAUUCAAUACACUUUCGGUUUAUGUCAUAAUAAAUUAAAAUUAUAUGAAACUAACACAAUUUAAUUAAAAUUAAAACAAAAGUUAUAAUAUAUCUUAAUUCAACACAAUCCUAUUUUAAUUCACAUUAAUAUUAAAAAAAUUACAUUACACUAGUGGUACCUGCACGACUUCUCUCCACCUCAUACGAAAGUGACAUAACUUGAUAUUUCUGUAAUUAUUUUAAAACUUGCAGUUAGUAGUUUGAAUCCAAUAUCUCAACAUGUUGAGUUAAUGCAAUUAUCAUAUGCAUUUUCUCUUGUGAUGUGCAUUAUCUGAGUGAAUAAAAGAGAUAUUAAUGACCGUAGUUUCUUCUGAUAGAUAUUUCUCUCUUUCAUUUCUUUCAAAAUUAUCCAAACAAAAAUAUUUGGUUUAAAAUUCUAUAUCAUAUCACAAGUACAUUAACAAUGGAAUCCAAAACUAACGACUGUAGCAAAACAAAAUUCACAACACAGAAGAAAAAAACAAUGGAGAUGAGAUGCACAGAAAAAUACCUUACACGAGCAUGGAAGUGAUGAAAGAAACUCGAAGGUGAAGAGAGAAGAAGAACAUUUAUACAAAACUACAUAUUGAGACCCAAAAUUUUAAAAUACUCGUAGAUAUUUUUUUUAAAAGAAUACACAUGUAGAUAACAUCAAGUACGGAUUGAUUAUUUUUCUUUUACGGAUAAGAUUGUGUAAACAUUAUCCGUAUUUGAUCUUACCUGUUGUCAUUUUUAAAUGUAGAGAAAAUAUUGUAUUGUCAUAAUAUAUAUAUAUAUAUAUAUAUAUAUAUAUAUAUAUAUAUAUAUAUUUAUAUAUAUAUAUAUAUAUAUAUUUAUUUAUUUUAUGUAUAUAAAAUGAGACAUUUAUCUUUUAACACUUUGUUAUGAAUACUAAACCAAAAUUACAUUAAAAUUUGAUGAUAUUUUCCCUACUAAUAUUUCACUAAUAAUAUGAAAUAUGUUUUUUUUUUGACAUUUUUUAAUAAUUAUAAUGAACUUACUUUUUUCCGUAUUAUAUGCUUCCAUGCUAGUUACAAAUUCACUAUAUAUAUUUCUUACUAAGAACUUUUUGAAAUAUUUGUAUAUAAGUAAAUUAAUAAAUAGAUAUGAAUAGAAUCAAAUUAUUGAUUUUUUUAAUAAAUUAAUAAAUAGAUAUUUGUAAAAUCAUACUACAUUGUACAUGGGUGUUUUUUUUUAAUAAUGUUGCUUAUUAAAAAAACUAUAUCAAAAUUACUCGGCCGAGUUUCAUCCUUAUGCAAUCAUUGUACUUGCAUUCAUUUAAUUGCCCCAAGACUUUUGUUUUUAUUUAUCUAUAAUGGUUGAACUUGAAUUAAUUUGGCUUGAAUAACAUUAUAGAAUAAAAAGUAUAAAUAAAAUUGACGAUAAUUAUCUUACAAAUACUUAGAUUAUCAGACACUACGUGAAUAAGUAUAAGAAAAAAAGUUCUUUAACAGACAAAGUAUAGGUGAUUAAUCUGUUUCAAAUAUUUUUUUAAAUAUAAAUUCAAACAUAAUAACGAUGCAUGUUGUCAAAAAAUUAUUAAAAAAAGAUAUGAGAAUAUCAUCAUCCAUUGUGCAUCUUAUUUCUAUAUAAAGAACCGAAACCAGGUGAUCGAAACAGAGGCAGAAGAUAUCAAAGAAUACCUUCGACUAAAAAAAAAAAACAUGAAGCCAAAGCAGGUUGUUGUUGUUGUCUCCUUCCUCCUUCCCCUCCUUGCUUUCCUCUCAGAUGGUGCUCCUGAGCGAGUUCUGGACGUAUCGCUGAACCCUCUUGAAGUAUAUCGUAAUUACUACAUCUUACCAGUAAUCACUGGCCCAGAAGGUGGUGGAUUGAAACUUGCCAAAACUGGCCACUCAGAGUGUCCUCUUACUGUCUUGCAAGAUAAAUCAGAAGUCAACAAUGGUAGAUCUGUCAAAUUCACCAUACCUGCUGGAAACACCUCUAUAAUCCGCAUAGGUACUCAUCAAUACAUUUUGAAUUUAAUUAUUUUCUUAAAAACUCUAGUGUUCUAUUACUGUUUUCAUAUGCUAUAGGUACCACCCUGGAUAUCAAGUUCGUAAAUAAGCCAGAGUGUGCAAAAUCGGGCAAAUGGGGGCUGUUGUAUGACCCAGAAAUCUACAGGUUUUGUGUGGUAAUUGAUGGUCCUGAUAGCACAUUUCAGAUUCAAAAACACAGAGCUGGGUACAAGCUUAUGUCCUGCAACAGUAGGACUUGUUACGAUAUUGGAAGAUUUGAUGCAGAGAACGGUGAGAGCGGAAGACGCUUGACUACGAAUGCGGCAGAACCGUUCGAGAUUGUGUUCGUACGGGCUCUUGUAGAUGAUUUUGAAGAUAAUAAGGUUAUUAAGUCUGUAGUUUGAAUCAAAUAUCUCCACAUGUUAAGUUAAUGCAAUUAUCAUAUGCUCUUUCUCUUGUGAUUUGCAUUACUUAAUAGUGAAUAAAUGAGAUAUUAAUUACUAUAAUUUCUUCUGUUACUUCUUUAUCUUUUUCGUUUCUUUUAAACUUAUCCAAACAAAAAUAUUUGCUUUAAAAUUCUAACUCUAACAUUCUUUCAAAAACAAUAAUUAUCCAUAUUAAUAUCACAACUACAUUGACAAUGGAAUCCACAACUAACGACUACAGCACAACACAGAAGAAAAAACAAUGGAGAUGAGAUAGACCUUACACGAGCAUGGAAGUGAUGAAAGAAACUCGAAGGUGGAGACAGAGAACAUGAUCCAAACGUUUAUAUAAGCCAAAAUAUAUCUUUAACAAUUUCUUUUGAUAAAUGGUUUUAUAAUUAUUUAUAUUGAUUCACUUCAAAUAUAUGAAACAAUAAAAUGAUAACAUUGUUUUUAAAAAGUUAUUAAAAUAUCAUGAUCUAUAUAUUAAUCAUUUAUACUAAAAUAUAAAAAUAAAAAUGAAAUAUUAUUGUAUUAAAUUAUGAAGUGUAAUAUUUGUUUAAGCAACAUAUCAUCUUAAAACAAAAGUAUUCUCAAAUAAAAGUAUUUGAAACCAUAUUAGGAUAUUAGUGAAACUUUUUUUUUUUGGCAUUUCAAAACUUUAUAAAUGUUGUCUAUAAGUAUAUGUUUUAAUUUAAUUUUUUUUAUUUUAAAAGUAAAAAUAUAAUUUAGAUAUAAAUUUAUUUGAUAGUUAAAAUUUUGAUAACUUAAUAUUUACCGUUUGAUCAAAUUCAUUUUCAUCAUCUUUAGAUGUUUAUAAAAUUCAGGUUAUAAAAUCGGUCAAAUGUUUUAGUUAAAUAUGUUAUUAUUUCGUUAAAAAAGGGUCAAGUAUCGAUUGUUAUGUUAAUAUAGUACAAGUUAGGGAAUGUAAUUUGUUUUAUUAUUGAAUGAGCUAAGGGUCAACUUGUCCUUUUUUUGGUUAAAUAGAUUAGAAUUUUUUUAACCUUUGGAUGUUCAAUAUGGAUUUUGAUAAUUAAUGUUCAAUUUGAUUAUUUUUUAUGAUGUUGUCUAAAUUGUAACAAAAGACAUUAGUAGUGUUUGAAUGAAUUGUUCAAUUUUUACUUAUGUGACCAGUUCAGAUUUGGUGUUAAUGUUGUCACAUUAUCAUCUUCAACCUCCUAACACAUCGGAAACCUUAACCACUACCAUUAGUUAUUGUGCCUCCAACAACUCAAGCUGCCUUCCUCUCUUUCCAACAUAUACACAAUGUCUUCAUGCUUUCAGCCACCAUGUUUGUCACUUGAAUUGUGCCUCCAUCAAAUCUACAACAAGUCCUUAAUUAUGAAACCUUAAAUUCUUUCGAACCAUUGAUCUCCAUGAACAAACUCACUUCACCAUAUCAGUCAUGCACGAAAGCCACUACUACACCUACAUCCUUGUCAAAAUUGUACGUUCUAGUCUUAUUUUUUUUCUCUUUCAGGUCUUGCAAUGGAGGUUGAACGCCGGCAAAAUUCUUAGUGGCGGUCAUAUCAAUGGCAAUAAACAUUGGAAUUUUCAUGGUUGUUGUGAGAUAAUCUCUUGACAUGGGUUUAGUAGUUACUCAUAUUAGACAUAUAUAAUUCAAAGCCUUUAUAUUUUGACUUAGUUAGUUAUUUUCAUUAUUCUUCAUUACUGUAUCUUUCCUUCUGUAUAAAAACUAUGCUUCACUGAUUUUAAUAAACGAGUGGACACAAUUUUACUUUCAUCUCUUUUCUCACAUUCUUUCCCUAUGUGUUCUUCUGCCUCUUUCUGCAUAAUUCUUCUACGUUCUAUUAGUGUUAUCAGGUAGCCUUGGUUAAGGAAGGGCCUAAGUUUUUCGUGCGUCUGGGUACAAUGUGGCUGGCCAAACGUGAUUAGAAGAAAGAUUGUUCUUGAGCAGAAAGAAGGUGGAUCAUGGUUGAUUUCUCUACGACAAAUCUCCCAAUUCUCACAAAAAAGAACUAGAGUAGGUGGAGCACAUAGAUGCGAGUCUUGUUCCGCGUUCAAGAUGUCAGCAGUGUGGUAGAAACAGUGGAGCCUGCAACUGAUUUCCAUGGCACAGAGGAUCAAAAGGAGGUGCUUAGAAAGAAAGAUGAUAAAACCUUGCUAAUUAUCCAUAAUUGCGUGGACGAUACGCAUUUUGAGAAGAUCCAAAAUGCGGCUACAACAAGAGAAAUGUGGAAUAUCUUGGUGUGUUGCCAUGCCGAAGGAGAAAAGAUCAAGAAAGUAAAGCUCCAAACGCUGAGGAGACAAUACGGGCUGCUGCAAAUGGAGGACAAUGACAGGUCAGUGAUUAUUUCAAUAGAAUCUUGACUCUUACAAAUCAAAUAAAAGGUAGCGGAGAAAAGUUCAGUGACUUAUUGAUAAUGGAGAAGAUAAUGAGGUCAUUACCUCGGCAGUUCGACUUUAUUGUUGUUGCAAACGAAGAAUUCAAAGAUCUUGAGAAGUUAAAGACCGAAGAGCUUCAAAGCUCCUUGGAGGCUUACAAGAUGAGGCUUCUAGAUAGAGAUCCCGUCAAACAUGAUGAACAGGCGUUGAAGGCUCAGCAUGUCAGAGGUGACAGAAAAAAGUUUAAGACUUGGAGAUGUAAACAUGUUGCACAAAGAAGAUGGAAGAACGAUAAUAGUGAUGAGCAAGAAGAAAGAAUUGAUUCAUCAGAGAGAAAAGUUCGUUUCAACAAGAAUUAUAAGAUGAAAGAUAGAAGAAACAUAUAAUGUUUCACGUGUCACAAAACGGGACAUUUUUCUUAUGAGUGUUAUUCAAACAAAGGUAAACAGAAUAAGAAAGAUCAGAACAAGGAGGCUCAUCUUACGAGAGAAGAGUCUGAUUCAUAACCUCUAAUUCUCAUGGUUACAAUCUCUUCCGAGAGCUCUGUGUCUUUGAACAAAUCGUGGUAUCUAUACUUAGGGUGCUCAAACCACAUGACUUAUAAUAGAGAAUGGUUUAUCAACUUAGAUUAAUCAAAGAAAAGCAAGGUUAGAGUUGCAAACAACAACACGUUAAGAGUUGAAGGAAUUGGAAAAGGAUGGGUUGCAUGAAACAGUAGAAAACGUUUUUCUUGUGCUAGAGAUGAAGUGUAAUUUGCUGAGUCUUGGUCAGAUUGUGGAAAAAGGCUUCACGGUGAUUAUGGGCAACAAUGGUCAAGCGAAAGUAUUUGGCAGAAGUAAGAAAUUGAUCUUGAGAAGCAAGAUCUCUUAAAAUCGUACUUUUCAGGUUUACAUGGAUAUGGUUGAGAACCUGCGUUGCUUGCCCACUGUGAAAGAAGAUGAGAACUGGAAAUGGCAUCUUAGGUUCGGGCAUCUAAAUUUUUGAAACUUACAGCAACUGAGCAAAAAGACAAUGGUUUCUGGUUUACCAGGUAUUAUCAUAUCAGAGAAAUCAUGUGAAUCCUGCAUUGUUGGGAAGUAAACCAAAAAAUCAUUUCAAGCACAAUUGGAGAUGAGGUCUAAAGACGUCUUGAGGCAAUUCAUUCAGACAUAUGUGGGCCACUAGAGGUACCAAUGCUGGCGGGAAACAGGUACUUUAUCACUUUCGUUGAUGAGUUCAGCCGAAUGACAUGGGUAUAUCUCAUAAAGAAGAAGAGUGAAGCUCUUAAGACACUCAAAAGAUUCAAAGAACAUGUAGAAAGAGAGACAGGAAGGCAAGUUAAAGCUCUCAGGACCACCUCAUUUUACUUCGAAAUCUUUUUUCAAGAAUGUGGAAUAGCUCACGAGGUGAUCGCACCUUACACACCUGAACACAAUGGCUUAGCGGAACGAAUAAACAUGACCAUAAUAAAUAUGGCCAGGUGUCUGCUAAAGGAGAAGGAAGUGCCACGCGAGUUGUGGGGAAAAGCGGUGUUUUGAGUCAACUUAAAUAUGAAUCGAAUGGACUUUCGACUUGACCUUUGUUUUGAGUCAACUUGACCUAACUAAAUUCAAAAUGAUUCGUUUUGACUUGAAUUUGAUUUAAUAGGCUUGACUUGGGUCUGAAUUGUGUUAUAUCAACCUUGGCUAAAACUUACUAAAAUAUAGAGCCAACUUAAGCUCAAACCAACUCAACUCGAUCUAAAACUUAUAUUAACUUGACUCGACUUGGCCUGCGAUGACUUUGUUUGACAUAGGAUUGAGCCAACUCAACUUAAUUUAAGCGAGGGUUGACUCAACUUGUUUAGACUCUUGUUGACUCGGUUCAACCUUUGAAAUGAAUUAACUUAAAUUGACCUUUGAUCCAACUGAGUUGGCUUGACCCAGGCUUAAGAUGACUUUACUCUACUUCAUUCUCUGACUCGAGCUACUUAACUCGACCUUUCUCUUGUUUUUGGUUUGAGUUAAAUUAACUCAACCUUUUACUUGAGCUAACUUGUAUUGACCUUAGCAUAAGAAUGCCCAUCUUGAAUUUUUGUUUGGACCUACUCGGCUCAACAUUUAGUUUUGACAAAUUCAACUCAAUCUUCAGCUUAAACUGACUCCACUAAUCCUAAGGCUCGGGAAAACUCACUUUGACUUUUUGACUUUGAUCAUUUUGGCUCAACCUUUGACUUUGAACUACUUACAUUGACUUUAUCUUUAGAAUCAGAAUGAUUUGCCCAAUCUUCAGACCAAUUUAACUUGACUUUAUUCUUUUAACCUUCAAUAGCUUGACUUUUGAUCUGAAUCGUCUCAAAAUCUAGAUCAACAUAUGUUAACCUUUAACACAAAAUUUCAUUUUUCACUUUUGAUUCAAACUAAUUCGAUUUAAUCUUUAAUUCCAACUAAAUAGGUUUAGUCUAUUUAGGACUAACUAGAUUUAACAUAAUUAAACUGAUUUGAUUAAACUUUUAUUCUGAGUCGACUUAACUCAAUGUUUGGUUCAUAUCAAUUCUUGAUUAACCUUUAGUCUAAAUUGAUUUUACUUUACUUUUUUUUUAGUUAGUUUGGAUUAACUUGGUUAUAAACUUUCUUGGUGCAUGUUUGGAUUAACUUGGUUAUAAACUUUCUUGGUUCAUAUGCACUUUUAGUUGUUCAAAAUUAAAAAAUUAUUUAAUCUAAAACUAAUUAAAUGAUAAAUUUAUUUUGAAAUAAAUUAAUUCAAAUAUAUAUUUAUGUAAAUUUGAAUUACUAAUAAAUUGAUUCCAUGAUUUGAAUUUUUUUUUUCAUUAUAAUACAAGAUGCAAUAACUAUUGUCGAAGCUUCUUUCAGAUCAUAAUGUCUACAUGUUUUGUUUAUUUAUGAAAGUUAGCAAUGAGAGGAUGUAUCUUGGGAUGGCUAUCACCAUAAAGGCUUAUUGAACACAAGGAUGUAGAUCUUUAAGCAAAUACGUCUCCCAUUUGGACACAAAACUAACCUCAUUCAAUAUAGUUAUUUAUAUUAAUUUAGCUGUAAAACAUACUAGAAUAUAUAUAUAUAUAUAUAUAUAUAUAUAUAUAUAUAUAUAUAUAUAUAUAUAUAUAUCUUACACUUCCAUAAUUAUUCACAGCAUAUUAGAAAAACGAGUUUAGUAAAUUUUGUUAUUGCAGUAAAGAUUGUUAUACAGAAAACAAAAGGUGACAUAUAUAUUAUAGCAUUGAGUAUAACUACCCUCUAAGUUAUGAAAAAGAACAAUCUAUUCAUCACUAUAAUUUAAAAGCUGAAACUAGUGCAAUGGAAAAUAUGCAAAACUAAAAAAAAAAAAAUUAUAACAACCUUAUUUCAUAAUAUAAAAGGCUAAAAAUUUAAGAGAGGGACCAGAAAAUAAGAUCAAGUAAGUAAAUCAAACAAGACCAGUAACUUGUUACAUGAUCACAACAAAAAGACCUUAGUACAGUAGAACAUGUUUUAUCCACACAAUCCAACCCUUUUUGAUGAAUCAUUUUCUAACACAGAAGAAUUUCAUAACAGUAUACAUAGCUAUUACCAUUUAUCUGCAAUUCAAAGAUCCUGUUUCCCUUGAUCAUCCUCUGCAAUGCUAACCACCCUUGAAACUUUGAUCUUAUCAGGUGACAACUUGGCCAUGGUGAGAGUAAGCACUCCAUUCUCUAACUUAGCCUUGAGAGAAUCAAAAUCCACAUUCUCUGGUACCUUGAACUGCCUCCAAAAUUUUCCAUAAGAUCUCUCCACUCUAUGCCAGUGAUCCCCUUCCUUCUCCUCCUCCUUCUUCCUUUCUCCACUCACUCUCAGCACUCUAUUACCCUCAAUUUCUAUCUUUAUCUCAUCUUUCUUCAACCCUGGCACGUCGAUCAUUAUAACAUGUCCCUCUGGUGUCUCCUUCCAAUCUACUCGCGCAGGUGACACAGCCAUGGAUGCCUGAUCUUUGCCAACCCCAAAUGGGAUUUGCUCCAACACACGAUAUGGAUCAAGGAAACGAUCAGACCAUAUGUCAGCCCAGAGUGCACCAGGACGAUCUGUUAAUGGUUGCAGAUACCCUUUUGCCUUGGAUGGAAAACCAGCAAGAACAAGCAAGAUCAGUGGCACUAGCACUGAGUUUCUCAUUUGUGUUUUGAAAUGUGAGAAUGGGUGCUCACAGAUGAAUUGGAGAAUUCAGAGAAACGGAUUGUGUGUUUGAUUUUGGCUAUAUCUGAAGUUUGUUUUGAAACUGGUUGAAGAUAUAAGGUAGAUGUUGGUUCUAUAUAUACAGGGAGAGAGAGUGUGGCAAAGGGUUAACGUUGUUCUUGAAACAUCAAUGGUGAAAUCGAAGUGUCAUAGUAUAAUGUAGAGAAAAGAAGAAGGUUCUAGUUUUUGAUAAUUGGAAGAGGAAAAGAGGGUUCUGGAAGUGAAAGAGGUGCAAGAAUGUUCCAAAGUGUUCCAGUGGUUUCUUUUUGUUAAACAACAAACCUCUCUUUCACUGUCACGAAAUGAUAGUUUGGUCGGACUAAAGACAUUUUUAAUUUUAUGGUAAUAGAAGAAAUUUUAGUACAGAAUUAUAUAUAUAUAUAUAUAUAUAUUUCUUAUACGAAGUAAUUAAGAUUCAAAUUUUGUACGUUUUCAACAAAUUUUUAGUCAUCAAUAGUACUUGUUUUUAUUGUAAUGAUUCUAACUUGGUUUUGUAUAUAUUUUUUAUAUUACAAGUCAGAAUUCGGUCCCUAAGAGUCGAAUGUUUACACUCUUCUUCAAUAACAUCAGUCGAGAUACCAGUCGGAACUUGGUUUCUGAGGAAUCUAAUUUCUCCUAGUUUUGUAUUUUUUAUUUGGAAAAUAAAAUUUUAACACCAUUUUUUGACACCAUUUUGACACUGUACACGUGUCAAAAUGUGAUUGGACGAUUUCAAAUUAAAAAAGUUGAGACAAGGGUAUAUUUGGAAGAGAAAAACCAAAGUUUUUUUUUUUAAUUUGAAAUCGUUCAAUCACAUUUUGACACGUGUGCAGUGCCAAAAUGGUGUCAAAAAAUGGUGUCAAAAUAUCAUUUUCCUUUUUAUUUAUUAUAGGUCAUAAUUUGGUUUCUCGAGAGCUGAAAUCUAACCUUUUUUUCGUUAACAUUUUUUUCGUUAACAUUGGUUGAGUGACUAUUCGGAAUAUUGGAAGUCUCAUAUCCAUUAGAGAUAAGGUCAUAUAAGUCGAUUUUGUGGAAUUGAGUUAGGCUUAUAAUCCACUUUUUAUUUCAGAACUCGAUUCUCGUCGAAUCGAUUUCUAAAUUGGUUUUUACUCUUUUUUUUUUAGAUUAAAUAUGUUUUUGUUCUUUUAUCGAUUUCUAAAUUGGUUUCUACUUUUUUUUAAGAUUAAAUAUGUUUUUGUUCUUUUAACUUUUAAUGAAAAUUAAAAUUAGGUUUUUUUUUUUUAAUUUUAGACUGAUUUAGUCUCUUAUCUUUGUGUGAAUUUAAUCCUUUUAAUCAAAUUUUGUUAAAUGUGUUUCUCAACUAAUAUUAAAGAAAAAGUNNNNNNNNNNNNNNNNNNNNNNNNNUUUUAAUCAAAUUUUGUUAAAUGUGUUUCUCAACUAAUAUUAAAGAAAAAGUAUGUCAAAUAUUGUAAACAACUCAAAUAUUAUUAUGAAAUGUUGUUAAUAAUCUUAACAAAUUUUGGUUAGAAUGAUUAAAUUCAUACAUUUCUAGAGUUAAAAGACUAAAUUAGGUCAAAGUUUGAAAGAGAAAUUAAUUCAAAUUUUCAUCAAAAAUUAAAGGACCAAAAUCAUAUUUAACUCUUUUUUUUAUUAGAUGUCAGAAUUUGAUCCUCGUGAACCUGAAUUCAAACCUUCAUUUUUGUGAACAAUCGGGCUACUAGUAGGAAGUCAGUUCUCAAAUAACCGAAUUUGAAGCUAGUUUAUUAUUUUUCUUUAUUACAGUUCAGAAUUCGGUCCCUGAAGAGCCAAAUUCCAGCCUUCUUUUUUUGUUAACAUUGGUUGGGUUACUAGUUAGAACUCAAUUCUCAGGAAACCAAUUUUCAAGUUGGUUUUUUACUCUCUCUUUAUAAAUUUCAUUAAAAUAAAUAGAGGAAGGGAAAAAAAAGAAGUUAUAUGUUUUUGAAAUGAGAAAAUAUUUACUUAUAUGUUUAAAUUUUGUUAAAUUAUACUUUAGAAAUAAUUUGUUUCAUUUUCAUUUAUUUAGGGGAUGAGAAUAAAAAUUAAAAAAAUGUAUAAGUAUAUAAAACAGAUAAAAAUUUCAUUACUCUUAUUUAAACCAUUUCAAGUUUGUCAUAAAACAGAAAUAGAAAUUUCAUUACUCUAACUUGAACCAUUAUAAGGUUGUCAUAAAACACAAAUAAAGAAAAGGAGAUUACAUUUGUUUACUUACAAAACAUCUCAAAGACUAACAUUAGUCACUCCAUCAUCAUCAAUGGAUGAUGGACCACAAACAUAGUCAAACUUCUCAACCUUCAUGAAAUUCACAUAAACUCCAUGAAGACCAUUAUUGAAUGUCAAUAAAUCACAUGUUGAACAUCUUCUUCAAUGUUUAAGAAAACAAAGUCAGAAGUUCCUUCUUCAACAAAUUAGGGAGGGAUAUGGUACUACAAAUGAAUUAACUCUAGCUCUCAUUAUCCCAAUAAAUGACUUCUAAUGAUACAACACAUAUGGCUUAUAGUAACCCCAUUUGGAAAAGUACAAAAGACAAACAUUUCAUCUUCAAAAUCUAUAAUAGCAUUAGAGGAUUUGAAAACAUUCAUCUCCUGAAGAAAAAACUAUUAUUACUUCUUCUUUUAAACAACUCCACAACUUCUAAACAUACUACCAACAUUCUUUUAUGGUAUUGAAUUAUUAACCAUGAGAAGCCAACUAAGCCUUGUUUGGAAAUUUCUCAUCAGACAAUUCAAUUUUGAUUAGAUUGGACUAUGAACUUGAUAAGACUUCACUUGUUAGCUUUAUUGGGUAAGAGUGGAAAAGACUCAGUCUUUCAACGAAUGCAUGUGAGUAGCUCCAUGUGAGUAUUGUGUGAGCUCGGGUUAGAGGUAUAUGUUGUUUGUUAGGGCUAGGCUUUUUUUAGCCUUGUAUGGGCUUUGUUCAAAGCAUGCUCCUCGAGUGGGUGUCCUUGAGAGGAUUCCUUGCGGUGAGUAGCUUGAUGGAAUGGAUGGUUCUUAGAGUGUCAAAGUUAAAGGACAGAUGUUUCUGAGUAGAGAACUCCGUGAACUAUGUUUGGGUGUGAUUGUGUGUGUAGGGUCUUUGGAGUGUUAAAGCCACAAGACAUGUUUCUUUUGAUAGAGAAUUAUGUUGACUGGUGUUUAAUACUUGGUUCUUAAGUGUUGAGGAUAGAGGAUGAAUGUCUUUAAACUGAGAACUCAAUAAAGUGAUACUUGUUAUUGAGGGUCUUUGGAGUAUCAAAGUUAGAGGACGAAUUUCUCUAGGCAAAAAAGUCUAUUGAUUGGUGUUUGAUACUCAGUUCUUAAGUGUUGAGGUUAGAGGAUAAAAGUCUCUAGACCAAGAGCCUUUAGAGUGUCAAAGUCAGAGGACGAAUGUCUCUAAACUUAAAUUUGGGUGUUACAAAUGGACUUAAAUUGGGAUUUCUCCAUUGAUUGAAAUUGCCACAUCUUUUUCCUCUAAAAUAUGUGUUGUGGGAAUUUAUUGUCAUGUGUUAGAAUCGUGUAAUAGAAUGUUUAUGUUGGAUAAAACUAAGAAGGGGAGUGAAUUGGUUUAUUAAUAUAAAAUUGUACUUUUAAAAAAAAAAAUCCCCUUUCUAAGAUCAAAGUUCAAUUAAUAUCUUUUCUUUUUUAAGAACAACAAAAUUUAAAGAUUGAAGAUUAUGCAAGGUAUUUUAUAUUGGUUCUGGUAAAAAGACUUUAUGUACAAUUUUUAAUCUCUCUAAAGAGAGAUUAACUCAAAUAAUAAAAUAAACCAAAUUUAUAAUCAUAAAAAGAAAAAGCUUAAGGUUUAAAAACUCUUGAAGACAUAAUAGAUGAAAGACAUUUUCUUUGAAUCACGCAAGGAAUAAACCACCUCCUUUGAGUCACACAAAUGAACAACUUCUCCUACCAACGGUAGUCAAUACCCAAGAAUCCACUUAGUGAAAGUUAUCGCUCUACUCAUACUAAGUUUUUCAAAACCCCUUUUCACAAACAUAAAGUUUCUCUAACAAUCACGACUUUAAACCUUCGAAUGAAAAAAUUGUUUUCAAAAUUAGAUUUAACCAAAUAUAUAAACUUUUUCUUUUUAAAAUUAGAUCAAGAACCUAAAGUGUCAAGUCAAAAUUGUCGUUAAUAAUUGAUUAUUUUAAUUUUAAAAAAUAACUUAUUAUCACAUUAGCUUUUCUAAAAACUUUUUAUUAUUAUGAUAAUCAAUUACCAUAAGUGAGUAAUCGAUUAUCACAUAAUCUUUUAUGAAAUCUUCAUUUCAUUUAAAUAACCAAUUAUCAUUCAGGUUAUAUGAAAAAUAUAAUCUUCGAUAAAUUGUGCAUGCUGUGAUCCUAUAAGCAGCUUACAUAUAAUUUAUUCACUAGUAUAAAACCUAUUACAAAAAUUUAAUCACAUAUUUAAUACUGGUCUUUAUCAUCUUCUUUUGCCAGCAUCGUGGUCAUCACAUAAUUAUAUUAAACUGAAACGGUAAGGAAAAUUCUCUCUACUACUUUAUUGUUUUUGUUAAGUACCUCUCCUUUAUCUACGUUUUAUUAAUAAGACCAAUGAUGUAAGUGAAAUAUUCAUCUCAAAUUUGUCAUAAUAUCUGUGCAUUGAUUGCUAUUUUGAUUUUUUUUUUAUUUUCUUUAUUCCUUUUUAUGAUAAGUUUAAAAUUUUCCACACAUUUUUAACAAUUUUGUAAUUCAUAAUUUUUCCGAAAUAAAAUAAUCUACUCCUUGUAAGGGAUAGUAUCAAUUUAUCUUUCCUUUUAUUUUUUUCGUUAGCUUCAAAUUUUGGAAGUCUUUAAAUGGUAAGUUAUUAACAACUCCUUAUAUUUAUAAUCAAGUUUUCCAUUUAGUUGGAAUCCGACCAUAUAAUAUUAUAAUCUAUUAUCAUAACUCCCUCUUGUAAUCUAUUUUUUAUGACUACGAAAACUCUUGUUUCUCACUGACUAUAAUUUUUUUUUCUAUCUAUCUAUUUUUUAACUCACUCUCUCAAGCUUACAAUAGCAAUUAAUGUCACAUCUAAUAGUUCUGAUACCGACCAUUACAAUACUAGAAUAAAAUUUACACUCAAUCAAAAGCAUGAAAUAAGGAAUAGAACUUCUUAAAACAUGAUUUAAUAAAUCAUCAUUUCUGGUGUUACGGAAUAUACGUAAAAGUCUUUAGACAGGCUUCAUAAAAUACAUUAAAUAAUUAAAAUAAAUAAGAAAAUUAUGGCUACCUCUUAAAUCUAAUGGAAACCCAUAAAUAAAGGGGAACAAAAUAAGAUGAAUUGGUAAAACUGGAUUAGUUUAAAUAAAGCUUCAAGACAAACUUCAGAUAUAGCCAAAAUCAAACACAAUUUGUUUCUCUCAAUUUUCCAAUUCUUUUGUCGUACCAAAACAGGAGGCACAUACACAUUUCAAAACAAAAAUGAGAAACUUAGUACUUGUACCACUGAUCUUGCUUGUUCUUGCUGGUUUUCCAUCCAAGGCAAAAGGGUUUAUGCAACCAUUUACAGAACGUCCUGAUGCACUCUGGGCUGACAUGUUGUCUGAUCGUUUCCUUGAUCCAUUUCGUGCGUUAGAGCAAAUCCCAUUUGGGCUUGGCAAAGAUCAGGCAUCCAUGGCUGUGUCACCUGCACGAGUAGAUUGGAAGGAGACACCAGAGGGACAUGUUAUAAUGAUAGAUGUGCCAGGGUUGAAGAAAAAUGAGAUAAAGAUAGAAGUGGAGGGGAAUACAGUGCUGAGAGUGAGUGGAGAAAGGAAGAAGGAGGAGGAGAAGGAAGGGGAUCACUGGCAUAGAGUGGAGAGAUCUUAUGGCAAAUUCUGGAGGCAGUUCAAGUUACCAGACAAUGUAGAUUUUGAUUCUCUCAAGGCUAGGUUAGAGAAUGGAGUGCUUACUCUCACCAUGGCCAAGUUGUCACCUGAAAAGACCAAAGCUUCAAGGGUGGUUAACAUUGCAGGGGAUGAUGAGCUCAAGCAAGAUCUUUGAAUUAUUAAUAAAUGAUAAUAACUAUACUCCCGUGGACUUUUUGUGUGCUAAUAAAUGAUCGAUAAAAAAAAAGGGUAUGUACUCUGGGCAAGGAUUUUGUGGAUAAAAGAGUUCUACAAAAGAUCUUUGCUUGUUAUCAUGUAACACUGGUCUUGUCUGAUUAGCUUGUUGAUUUUAUUGUGGUCUAACUCAAAUUUUAGCCUUUGAUUAUUAAAUAAAGUAGUAAGGGAAUGACAAGAAAAUACAUAACAAAGUACGAGGUCCAUUAGUGGAGAAUGUGUUAUCCAUUUGUUAAAGCUUUCAAAAUCUUCGCUUCCAUCAAGACAAUGUGAGACAUACUUAAAACAGAUAUGACAGAUUAUGUCACCACAUGAUGUACAAAAUAUAUAUUCUAGCAUUCAAUAUCAUUUACACGGGUUAAACUGCAAACCUUUGGUCGUAUAACGUGGCUGAAGCAUUUUGUCAUGUUUGCAUAAGAAUCAGAUAUACUAAAGCAUUCUUCAAUUACAUCUUUCAGAGAAACGAAAUUCAAAGAUUGUGGGUAUGUCUUCCCUUUGUAGUUUAUGUUGCCAAAAAACAGCCCAGGAAUAAAAAAACUGGACUAGGUUUAGACAGCAUGUUGAUAUGAUACAGUGGUCAAACCAAAAUAAAUAAAAUAUAGACAUGGCUGGUUUUUUCCUUCUGUUUCUCUGUUCUUGAUAAAUCUUUGGAGUUGCGAGGACACAAGAGAAUAAUUACGUCAUACAAUUUGGUGUCACUAGAAAAAUCCUUGGUCAUGUGAUGUGGCUGUUUUGCAAGGUCAGCACUGGCUUUUGUCAAAAAUUUGGGUUUCAAUUGAUUUUUCUUUUGUUUAAUCCUCCAAAUGUAGUAUGGUGAGUUCAAAACUGUUGAGGUCACCAGGACUACAGAUCAACCACGACUUCAUUUUUAAAACCAACGAGACUUUCCAAGAGCCCGUACAACUCUUCUAUCUUUGGAUUCGAUUCGUCAAGAGAAUAGAACUGAUGAACCUGGUCAUCAACCUCAAUCCAACUGCACCCUGGAACUUUAUAAGACUUUUGCUGCUUCAGUGUCCUCCUCAAAUUCCUCACUUCAUCCCACCGUCCCAACUCCCCGUAUACAUUGGCCAACAUUAUACCGUAACCUCCAUUGUGUGGAUCUUUUUCAAGCAGUUUUUUGGCCGCAAAUUCAGCCAAAUCAGUCCGGCCGUGCACCUUACAUCCAUUAAGCAAAGAACCCCACACAACCUCAUCUGGUUCCAUGCUCAUACCAUUGACAACUUCCAUUGCCUCAUCAAACCUCCCUGCUCGACCAAGAAGGUCUAUCAAACACCCGUAGUGCUCGAUCCUCGGCUCUAUCCCAUAUUCCCGACCCAUCAUCUCAAAAUAUCUAUAACCCUGCUCAACCAAUCCACCAUGAGUACAAGCAUUCAACAAACCAAUGAAGGUGACCUCAUCCGGUCUCACGCCACCACCAGACCCCACCAUUUGCUCAAAAAUGGCAAUUGCACUCUCACUCUGCCCGUGCAACGCAAAACAGUUAAUCAUCGAGUUCCAUGAAGUCAACCCCUUCUCCGGAUUCAUCCCAAAAACCUUCCUUGCUUUUCCAAGGCUUCCACAUUUCCCAUACAUAUCAACAAGGGCAUUCGAGACAAACGAGUCCCAUACAAACCCAUUCUUGUACACAAAACCAUGUAUCCAUCUCCCAAGCUGGAGCAUCCCCGUGUGGCCGCAAGCCGAAAGUGCACAGACCACAGUAACCCCAUUCGGCAUAUUACGCUCCCAAACCAUUCUCUUAAACAACUCAAUCCCCAGAGUGAAAGCCCCAUUCUGGGCGCACCCAGCAAUGAGAGCAUUCCAAGACGGCACAUCUCUCUCGGGCAUCUGAUCAAACACCCUCACCGCACUCUCAACAUCCCCCACCCUAGCAAACCCAGAAACCAUAACGGUAAAAGACACCACAUUUCUCUCGGACAUUUCAUCAAACACCUUCUUUGCAUCCGGCAACCCACCGGAAACCUUGGAGUAAGAGUCAACCAGCGCCGUUUGCACGACAGGGUAGUGGAGAAACCCGGAUUUAACGAUCUGGGCAUGCAGUGAAUCAACGGCGCAUGAGUCCGGACAUGCUUUGAGCGCGUGGGGAAAGAUGAAUUGGUUGGGGCGGGCGGUCUGAGAGCGUAGCAUGUGGCGGAAGAGGAUGAGGACGGAGGAGUGGUUGGAAGGAUGAGAAGCGUAGGCGGUGAUGAUUGCGGUGAAGAGGUGGGUGUUGGGGGACGGGUGGUGGUGGAAGAUGAGGCGUGCAUAGGAGAGGUCGGAGAGAGCGAGGGCGCAGAAGCGAAGAAGCUUGAAGGCGUAGAAGUGGGUAUGGGCGUGGCCAAGAGUGGUGAGGUAACCCUGAAGUUGCUUCAGAUGAUUCAGAUGAUUGCACUUGCUCAGUGUUUCCAAUACAUGUUCGUUCAGGUUUCGCUUCAUUUGCUUGUUUUCUUAAGACGAAGAACAUCAAAUACUUAUAAAACACGAGUUCGUGAUACUGUGUUUGAUCAACACCAAUCACAUUUGAUAUGUUAUGAGUAAAUUUUGGGAUAAAUAUCUAUUUAGUAACAAAAUUAGAAUUUGUGUUUGGUGUAAAUAUUGAUAUAGUUUUGCCUCUAAAUUUUAAAAUCAAAUAGAUAUAACAAUGUAUUUUAAAUUCUUUUAAUAUAUUAAAUGUCUUUAAAAAUAGUAUUUUGAGUUGUUUAUAUUUAUACCAUUUAUAUAUGUUUUAGUUUAAAUGUUAAUACGAAGUAUUUAGUUUUUUAUUAAUCUAUUUAAGUGAGAAUAAUAUGUUUCUAAUGGAUAUUAGUCUCUCUUUUUUUGUCUCGUGAAUUGCAUUCACAAAUUCGUGUUCGAAAAUUCGUUAUGUAAUUUUACAAAGAACUGUGACAUAUCAUCUAAUAAUAUAAUAAUAGACUUAAAGUUGUUGGUCUUUCUUAACAAAAUAAGAAACAACCAAGAAUAAAUUUAUACAAAUAAAAUUAAAGAACAAAAUAUGUAUAAACUUUAAUAUAAAAUGAAGUGAAAUUGAUGGUAUAUUUUCUUCAAAAUGUAUUCGUCUUAAGUAGUGAGAAGGAUGGGAAGGAGAAAACAAACAUACAUAAAAGAAAUGUCAUGGGAAAGAAAAAGAUAAAUAGAAAAAUACAAAAAGAUUUAUAAUAAAAAAAACCUUUAAAAUUAUUAUAUAUAUUGUGCAUUUUUCUUAAAUUUGAGAUAUUUGAUGAAACUAUCCCCUCCUCUUUCUUUGCUUUAGAAAAUUAUCUAGAUAAAGAAAUAGAAAUAUGAGUUUUACAGCGCAUAUUAUGAAUCGAAUAGUCAGUGUUCAGCAUCGUCGCUUGGUGCAUUCUCUUAAUGCAUUCUCUUUAGCAAUUAGGGCAAAUGUAAAGCCCUUAAAAUUUUAAGGCUAUUGGGCCUCAGGGAAAGCAGCCAAGCCCAUCAGAGUUAGCUCUUGGUCUUGAGAGGGGUCUUUCCCUUAGUCAGCAUUUUCAUUUCUGCAUUUUCCCUCUCUCUCUAAAAGAAGAAGUUCUUAUGCCCUAACCAAGUUCCUCCAUCUUCUCUCUAAAAUUCCAGAAAUCUGAAUCGUGCAAAUUUUAAUUGAGUGUUGCCAAACCCUUCCUGGCGGAGAAGGCUUCCAUUUGAACCGAACACUUCUCAAUUUCAGUUGGUAAGUAAGUUUCCUCUUUUCCCUCUACUGUCCUAACCUAAGGCAACCAAUUUUUUCUGGUUGCAUGUACUUUCCAUAUUGUCUUUUCCUUCCAAUUUGUUCCAGCUCUAAAAAUGUUGUUUCUAUCAUCAAAAUUGGUGAUUUAUAGGUCCUGUCCUGUUCAGCACAGUGUAAGGGUUACUAUUGGAGCGUUUCCUGAAUUUUUAGUUGUGAGUUUUCGAGGUAAGGGGAGCUAAUUGUUUUGUUUGAAUAUAUUUUAUAAAAUAUAUGCAUGUUGAUUUCUUAAACUGAUGUGUUGAUUUGAACUGAUAUUUAUCUGUUUGGUAUGAACUGAAGUUUGAAAAUGAUGAAUUUAUUGACUGGGAAAUUGUGCUUAAAUAUUGUGUGUUUAAAUAUUUGACAGGUAUAUGUGGAUUGAAUAUAUAAGUUAUCUCUCUUUGAAUUGAUUUGCUGAAAUUGGUCUUUGAUUUGGGGUGGUGUGUAUGUGUGAGACCUAAUGAAGAGAGCAAGGGAGAAUUGCUUGGGAGCUACGUGUUGGGUGUGUGUGAUCAUGGAUGAAGAAGAUGAAAGAAAAUUGGUUGCAGUGACAGGAUUGAGGUGCAAUUCUUAAAUANNNNNNNNNNNNNNNNNNNNNNNNNNNNNNNNNNNNNNNNNNNNNNNNNNNNNNNNNNNNNNNNNNNNNNNNNNNNNNNNNNNNNNNNNNNNNNNNNNNNNNNNNNNNNNNNNNNNNNNNNNNNNNNNNNNNNNNNNNNNNNNNNNNNNNNNNNNNNNNNNNNNNNNNNNNNNNNNNNNNNNNNNNNNNNNNNNNNNNNNNNNNNNNNNNNNNNNNNNNNNNNNNNNNNNNNNNNNNNNNNNNNNNNNNNNNNNNNNNNNNNNNNNNNNNNNNNNNNNNNNNNNNNNNNNNNNNNNNNNNNNNNNNNNNNNNNNNNNNNNNNNNNNNNNNNNNNNNNNNNNNNNNNNNNNNNNNNNNNNNNNNNNNNNNNNNNNNNNNNNNNNNNNNNNNNNNNNNNNNNNNNNNNNNNNNNNNNNNNNNNNNNNNNNNNNNNNNNNNNNNNNNNNNNNNNNNNNNNNNNNNNNNNNNNNNNNNNNNNNNNNNNNNNNNNNNNNNNNNNNNNNNNNNNNNNNNNNNNNNNNNNNNNNNNNNNNNNNNNNNNNNNNNNNNNNNNNNNNNNNNNNNNNNNNNNNNNNNNNNNNNNNNNNNNNNNNNNNNNNNNNNNNNNNNNNNNNNNNNNNNNNNNNNNNNNNNNNNNNNNNNNNNNNNNNNNNNNNNNNNNNNNNNNNNNNNNNNNNNNNNNNNNNNNNNNNNNNNNNNNNNNNNNNNNNNNNNNNNNNNNNNNNNNNNNNNNNNNNNNNNNNNNNNNNNNNNNNNNNNNNNNNNNNNNNNNNNNNNNNNNNNNNNNNNNNNNNNNNNNNNNNNNNNNNNNNNNNNNNNNNNNNNNNNNNNNNNNNNNNNNNNNNNNNNNNNNNNNNNNNNNNNNNNNNNNNNNNNNNNNNNNNNNNNNNNNNNNNNNNNNNNNNNNNNNNNNNNNNNNNNNNNNNNNNNNNNNNNNNNNNNNNNNNNNNNNNNNNNNNNNNNNNNNNNNNNNNNNNNNNNNNNNNNNNNNNNNNNNNNNNNNNNNNNNNNNNNNNNNNNNNNNNNNNNNNNNNNNNNNNNNNNNNNNNNNNNNNNNNNNNNNNNNNNNNNNNNNNNNNNNNNNNNNNNNNNNNNNNNNNNNNNNNNNNNNNNNNNNNNNNNNNNNNNNNNNNNNNNNNNNNNNNNNNNNNNNNNNNNNNNNNNNNNNNNNNNNNNNNNNNNNNNNNNNNNNNNNNNNNNNNNNNNNNNNNNNNNNNNNNNNNNNNNNNNNNNNNNNNNNNNNNNNNNNNNNNNNNNNNNNNNNNNNNNNNNNNNNNNNNNNNNNNNNNNNNNNNNNNNNNNNNNNNNNNNNNNNNNNNNNNNNNNNNNNNNNNNNNNNNNNNNNNNNNNNNNNNNNNNNNNNNNNNNNNNNNNNNNNNNNNNNNNNNNNNNNNNNNNNNNNNNNNNNNNNNNNNNNNNNNNNNNNNNNNNNNNNNNNNNNNNNNNNNNNNNNNNNNNNNNNNNNNNNNNNNNNNNNNNNNNNNNNNNNNNNNNNUAAUCCUAACUUAAGUACCUUAACACUCUAACUGCUUUAUUAUAUCAUCUAUGGUGACGUCUUGAUUUUUAUAUACAUGUAUGUUAUAAAAUAGGGAUGUCACAUUUAUGGUAUCAGAGCAGUUUCUUUCUUAGGAAUAUCCCUUAGGUUGUGUGUGUGUCAUGCUCUUGUCUGUGUACUCUUAGCAUUUCCAAAUAAUUGCCUUAUUUCCUAGAUUCGAUUGAUGUUCUGUUUAUCUUUGUGAAACGAUACCAUGACACCUAUACUUCCACCUCCUCCACCUCCUCAAAAUGAACCCUCUAAGUCCAACGCAAGAUUGGAAGCUGUGCUUGAGGCUCUUCAGCAGCAGAAUACUGCUCUUGUGCAACAAAAUACUGUUGCCCUCCAAAACCUAGAAGUUGCUAGAAUAGCCGCUGAAAAUGCCAGGAUAUCAGCCGAGAAUGCUAGAAUGGAGUCUGAUCACACCCAGAGGUAGCUGAUGGACACGUUGGCCUGAGGCAUACCCACUCAGGGUGCUACCUCCUCUGUUGCCCCAGUUCAAGAGUGGACUUUGGAGAGCUUUCUCCAACACCAUCCUGCCAGGUUCAACGGCAAAUGCAGCCCAGAUGAAGUCGACCAUUGGUUCCAAGACAUGGAACGUAUUUUUGAGGCAAAGGGGUGUCCAGAUGAUAGGAAGCUGGCCUAUACUCAAUAUCUCCUGACAGGAGAAGCUGGCCAUUGGUGGAACAGCAUGAGAGCCAUCCUUGAGAGACGUGGAACUCCUAUUACUUGGGAGUUAUUCAAGACCAAAUGCUACACAGAAUACUUCCCUGAUAGUGUCCGCUUUGCAAAAGAAGUGGAGUUUCUUGAGCUAACACAAGGAAACAGGUCGGUGACUGAAUAUGUCGACCGUUUUAAACACCUUCUUCGCUUCAGCACGGUGCAAGUGAAUGAAGAUUAGCAGUGCCGGAAGUUUGAGAAUGGUUUGAGGAAGGAUGUCAAGCUUAUGGUGAAGGGAUUACGCAUCCGAGAGUUUCCCACCUUGGUGGAAAUGGCUAGGGACAUGGAGAAAACCAAGGGAGAACCUGAAGUGCAGCAGAGCCAGAGAGUCCAACCACUGAGGGUUGGCGGACCAGUAGUAUCCAGAGGGGGAUCCAGUUCCAGGACGAUCCCUUUCUCUAGGCCCACGUCUUUUGGGUCCAGGGAUUCCUCCUCCUCACAGCCUUCAUUGCAGCAGGGGCAGUCCAGUUACAUCAGCCCAGUUCGAUGCUACAUGUGUGGAGGACCACACCUCCAGUCUGUGUGCCCUC